GUCCGUUAGGCUUUUCUUUUUUCGCUGCUGAGGAAUCUCGACGUGGAUUGUAGAUGCCAGACUGAUGGGUUCUUGGUCAGUAGGGGGCCUUCUUUAGGUUGAGUUUGAUGUCUAGAUAUGGGGCGGCGGGUGGAGAAUUUGAUGAUUGAUGAGGAAGUCUGAAUAACUUAUUCGAGGGAUGUGUACCUGGUGGUGCAGUCGAGUUGAAGCGGAGGGAUGAUUAUGCUGUCGGGAUCGUGCUUGUUGAUUGAGACGCCGUAAUUUUCAUCGUGUUUGCUUCGUAUAUUUGAUAUUGGAGACAUGAUUCUGUAAUAGAAUGAAUCGCGUCGAAUUGUUUCUUCUAGUCUAGCGCUUCAUGUUCUUCAAUGUCGGUUCUGGGUUGAAUUAGUUUGUUGAUACAAAACGGAGCUGCGUUUCUCUUGGCAGUAUAAGGUUUUGAUGCGACCGUCGUUGGAACUCACAGGGCCAGUUCGUGGCAACAGAUUGCCUGCUUCCCCUUGUUCGAUAAUUUCUAGUUUACCGUAUUCUUCUGAAGCAAGUGCUGAAAUGGAGGAACCCACAGGAUUUUUUGCCUUUUUCCAUAUAAUGUGUGUCUUGACACAUUGUGGAGUUCUUUUUCCGAUAUUUGGUUCUUGUAAUAUCAUGCAGAGACCGUGAAGGAGAUGUAUGAUAAAAUUCUUGAGUCCGCUAAUAUGAAAAGAACAAUGGCUCCAAACGCAUGGACGUGGUCGAUGAUUGAAAAUUGCAAGAACAGAGAGGAUAUCAGAGCUUCUCUUUGAUGUCUUGCAGAACCUACGCAGAUUUGUCAGUUGACUUCUUGCUCCAUUUGAGAAAUAAAGUUUUGAUUUGUGACUAGUUGAUAAAUCAAUUUGUUUUUUUCUUUCAUCGCAGAGAUUGUCAAAUCUUCGUAUUCAUGACUGCAACCUUUGUCAGGAAGUCACAAAAGCAUCUGUGCGUGCAAGGGCUCUUCAUUUUGGUGAGCUCUAUCUACACAAGUUGUGUGCCAAGUUCAAAAAUUUUGUAUCUUGCUAAUAUAUUUACCUGAUACUUCUUCUGCAUUCGAUUGUUGCUACUUACCCUAUCAUUAGCACAAUCAUUUUGUCGUAUGUUGUUGGUUCUCAAAUGAUCUUUUUACCUCAAGCCUUUCAUGCUUGGAGAACAUACUCAGCUGCUUAUGAAAUUUUUUUACCACCCCGCUGGUACUGUUAGCUAGUUAUGCUUUCGUGUUUUUUUCUUUUUUCCCUUGAUCCGUCAAUUAUGUAAACCAGAAUUUUUUCCUACACGGAUGCUACAUGUGUAUCAAGCAUGGGUAUGGAAAUGACACAACACAUAUAACAUAUUCAAGAAAUAGUUUUUCAUGUUUGAAUGUGUAAAGGCACAUUCAAUUUAAAGUACUUAGGACAUUGUUAAAUGUGUAUUAACUUGUCUUUUGUGAGUAACAUGUUAACCUGCUUGACACGCUGCAAUGUGUUUAAGUAGUUAGAAGGGUCAAUUUAUUUUACAUGUACAGACUUGUUAACUCGUUGAUGACUUGGACAAUAUUAAGCUCAGUCCAACUUAAUAUGUGUCAAGCACUUAUUCUUUAAAUAGGUCUUUUUGCACAUUGCUGGCUCUGUAAGACUGAUUUCUUGAAUGACACCUCCACUUCAAGUUAUUGAAUUCAUUAUUGAAGCUUAGCAAAGAGCAUUCACUUUUUUUUUUUUGGUCGAAAAGAGCAUUCACUUUUUGCAGACAUGUUUUUAUGAACAUUAAGCUUCAGUAGUUAUCAGUUCGAGCUGUUUCUAGUAAUUAAGCUCUUGAUAAUUUUCAAGAAAAAUAAAUCAAAUCAAACUGCAGUUCCAUGGUGUAACUCAUUUUAGGAGAUUGCAGCAGUUAAUUGUCACUAGGAGUACAUGAUUUAAUCAGAACUGACAUCUGUAAAUCCUUAUUUAGGCUAAGAAAUUAAAUUGCAUGGUGCACUUAAUCCAUGAUGAUAGAAACUAAGGGUUGACAAAAUUGUAGGUAAGAAGGCCUUGUGGGAGCAUAAUGUCUAUGGAUUCACCCCUACAAUUGGCUCUGCAAACCAUCUUUUGGUAAUGAUGAAGUGUAUCUUUAUCAAGCAAUUCUCUUUCCAUUCGUUUUAUUUACACAAUUCUUCUGCUAACUUGGGGUAUUGCAAUGCAGAAAUAUGCUAAAGAGUGCUAAAGAGCACAAAGAUGCUACCCUCAUGCAGGAAGUUAUGAAGCUUUUGAAGAGGAAUAACUUGCCAUUGCAACCCACCGUGGCCGAUAUUGUUUUCAGGUUCACUUCUGUGCUGUUUCUCCUGAGAAGGAUGUUAUUAGCAUGUAGUAAGCCAUUAUUGCACUUAAUUGUGUGUUAUGUACUACAUAGUUAUCAAGCAAUUUGUCCAAUUUAUAAGUGUCAUUUAUAUACGAUUUAAUCAACUUGUUUUUAUUUGAAUCAUUUUGUCUACACUGCUACUCUCGAUCUAAUAGUUUGCUCAUGUUAUUUGACAUCCUUUCUUUCCAUGGAAAAAUUUUGCAGCAUUUGUGACGAUACAGACAAUUGAGGGUUCCUCACAAAGUAUUCAAAGAGAUUUGUCAAAAAUGGAGUGAAUUUGCAUAAAGCUGCAUUCGACAUCUGGAUGGAGUUUGCUGCAAAAGUAGGUGAGAAACACUAGCUCUGUCUCCCUUCGCUGCUCUCAAGCCCUUGUCCCUCAACAAUCUUAUUUUCCAUUUCUUCCCACAAAUAGUUCUCUCAUCCAGGGCCCGCCACUUACUGCAAAAGAUGGGAUGUGCUCUUCUGUACAAUGAUUUAUUUCUCUCCUUAAACAAAAGGGUAGAACUUAGAAAUAAAAAGAAUUCUCGCUGCGCUGUGUCCUUCAAUGUCUUUGUUUCUUUAAUUGUUCUGAGAUUAUGCUUCUUUAUCCUAUUUAGUGGUUUGACGAAAAUUACCCUUUUCAGGAGACAUUGAAUCUCUAUGGGAAACUGAGAAGUUAAGAUGUGAGUCCAUGAAGCAGCACACCGUGGGCAGUGGGUUCUCAUGUGCGAAGGUAGUUUACAAUCGCAGACUGUUGAAAUCACAAAUAUCAGACCCUGAAAGCAAUAGGUCUUCUUGCAUUAGAAAAUCUGAUAAUGGGAAAAUAUUAAUAUUGCAAUACAGAUCAGUACAAAGUUCUUGGUAAACCAGGUGAGAGGUCUAUGGCCGAAAAAAGCGAGAGUUAAUGAUUGAAUAAACCAAAAUUUGGCUCACAUCCUAGGACAUGAAGCACCUAUGGGCAUGAGAAUGCUCAUUGUGAUCACACAAAGGAGAUAUAACUACAUUUUCGGUAUUUGGAAGCAUUUAUUGUGGCUUUUAGCACUCUGGUUUAAGAUUAAAUUUUUAUCGUCAUUUACUUGUUUUGUGGCAAACUAAAUGGUUUUAUAACCAAUUUUUUGUGCAGGGAUAUUUACUUGAAGGCGAACCUGAGGAGGCUGCUACAGUCAUUCACGUCUUCAAUCAGGUGCUCCUCACUUCUCAGAGCAUCUAUAGCUAUUAUUAAUAUGCUCAUCAUCACCAUCUGGCAUGAUUGCAAUCCUAAAUUACCUCAGCCUCUGAACUAGUCCUUCAAUUUUCCAUAUACUGUCAAGGAAUAAAGCAAUUAGUGGAAGAUAUACAGAAUUGUCCCCCAAAAUGUGCUCAGAUAAAAUUACCAUGACAUAUCCUCUCUCAAGGGGGACUGGAUGAUUUGGGUUUCGUAUUUGGUGCAUGCUAUACUAUUAAAAUAACUUGAGUUAGUUCCAUGGAUCCUAAUAGAGUUCGAAAGAUCAUCUCAGACUCCUCCUGAAUUGAAUAAAGUUGGAAAUACACGUAUGUAGGCUCUGUUUGUUCAGAUGUCGCUUCUUAGGUCUCAUAAUGUGAAUGCCUUGGAUUGAUGCCAGAGUUUUCCUGAUGCUAAGAGGUCCAGCAUCAUGGUUGAACUUCAAAAGCUUGUCAGUGAGUGGCUUUUCGAGGUUAUCAAACGGAAGAAAGAAUAUGACCACAAGGUACUUCCUUUGACUAAAUAUCCAUCACUUUGGGUAGAAGUAGAAAUAUUGCUUGUUUGCAGUUAUAUAUUGCUCUGGUAGAGAUAGAAAUAUGGCUUGUUUAAAACCUCUCAUUCUUUUCGCUCAUGUAGGCAUUGGCUGCUUCUCUCAAAUCCGAUAUCCUGGCCUUGGUGGUGAAAGUGAAUACGGAACAACUAACCACCGAAGGCACCCUUUGUUAAAGUAUGACAGAAUUGAGAUUGAAUGCACUAGCUGCAGAUCUGUCUCCUAUGUGGACUGCUAAGGUUGCCAUGUUAAUUUCAACCGAUUCCGCUGAGAAGCAAGACAAGCGCGGUACUCACGUCUCGAGCAACAGGCAUCUGAAGUUCUCUUGUGAAGGUCCCUGAACCAUGAAAAGAUCUGCUCCUUCUUGAUUUGAAUGUUGUCACUUCUGUACUUUCAGAUAAUGAUUCUUUUCUUUUCUUUCCCCUAAAAAUCUGAGUGUAUUUGAGACGAUCGGUGCAUCAUCAGCAAUUGAAUUCUGAGAACAACCUCGGAUGACUAGUUUUUGCAAAAAGGAUUCUUUUGGCUCACGCAUUUUAGAUGGGACCAAAUGGACAGUUAAGAGAGACAAUUGAUAAGGUGGUCCUUUCAAUUUCCAUCUGAUUUAGCAGGCUAUUUUGUCAUAUUUCUGACAGAAUUUCGCUGUCCAAAAUUAAGAGAGUGAAUUUAAUGCCGACUCAUUUGAUGUUGGCAUACAGCGACCGCCAUUGCUUCCUGAUUUAAUCGGAUUGAACUGUCCAAUCGUGCUGCAAGAGUGCAUAACAUAAAUUACAUCCCUUUUUACAUCAUGAAAGAUAACGAAAAACCUGAAUUAUCGGAAAUGGCUUUGGUACCCACAUGCGUAGGUUUGUGCAUAUAAGGCGUAAAAGAGGUGACAAACGCAAUCCUCUAGAAUUAAAACAUGUGCAUUAAUCAUGUGCAAAUUUUAGUAAUGAAUUGACAUAAUUGUAAUAGGUGUGAGAUUUUUUUGGUAAUUUUUUUGUAUUUUCGCUAUUAAUACCUAAAUUUUUGCAUAAAAAAUGAGUUAAUUUUUUACCCCAAAAAAAUAAAAAUCACAUGGCGUAUAGUUUAGGUACAUUUAUUUUUAAUUUGCAUUUUUUGCAUUUAUUUAUUGAACUGACGAUGAGCGCAAGAUAUUUCACAUAUUCAAAUAAUAUACACUAAGGGAUGUAUAUUGGGCAAAAAUAAAAUUUUCGGAUGAAAUAUUUGAAAAAUAUCGCGUCGGGUGCAUAUAUUUCGAAUGAUAUAUUCAGGAAAUUAUGCAUAACCAAAAUUGGAAACAAAAUAUGCCAUGGGAUCUAAAUUUUUCCUCUAUAAAAGGCGUUGUGCGCGUACGGACGAAGGGGGGCAACAGUGUCGUCUUCUUCGUGGACCCCCUGUCCACGUCGGCCCCACGUUCACCUCGCCGGCACCGCCUUGGCCAGGCACCGCCUUCGCCACUACGAUUCUGCCACCGCCGCUUCGCCGUACUCCCCGCGAAGCUAGCCGCGACGACCCCACGCCGGCAGAUCUGAGCUGAGCUCGCCUCUGCUCGCGAUUAGCCCCUGACGUCCCCUGAUCCAGCCGCGACCGACGCCAGCCGAGCCCCACUCGCCGUCUCUGAGUCGCUCCCCUUCUGCGACGCCAGCCCCCGCUGCGCUCCGCCUCGCCUCCAGCCCGUGCCGGCCCUCGACGCCGCUGCUGCUUCCCGACGCCAUCAGAUCCAGCGGCCAACACAGCCCCGUCACCCGCAUCAGUCCGUGCACCGCACCUCACGCCCGAGCGAUCCCCCCGACGCCGGCAGAUCCCAAGCCGGUCGCUGCUCGUCUGCUUCGCCGUCGUCGCCACCACAGCAAGUCGCUGCCCACCGACCGACGUCUCUGAUCAGCGCCCGACGUCCGCUCCACCUCUGCUCCGACGCCGCUGCUGCCCCUGCAACGCCCCCUCGUCGGUGCCCUGCUCCGCCGGAGUCCCUCGCCGGCGUCUGCCCUCACUGCCCGCGCCGGACGAGCUGCUCGCUGUUGAUCCCUUCGCUGGAGUUCCGAACGGCGGCCAAAAUUUUUUAAAAAUAAAAAAUAAAAAAAUCAAAUUAGGUAUGUUUGCUUCAUUUUAUUAGGCAAGUUUGUUUUUAUUUUAUUUCUUGUUUACUUAUUUGCAAUAUUUUCCUAUGCAUAAUUAGAAUACCACAUAUCAUCUUAUUCGCAACCACACCUGGAUUUUUUAUUUUAUCUAUAAGGUUUUAAAGCCUUAUAAUUAAUCAAGCGGAAAUAAAAAGGCUUAAGAUCAAUUUAUCGAUUUUAUUAAUAAAAUAUUAUCCACGAUGUUUGAUAUUUUUGAUUUUGAAUGGCUUGUCUUGAUUACUUUAUUUUUAUUUAUCUUGAAAUAUGUUUGAGUUAGAAUAUUGCAUGCUUUAGGGUUAUUUUGCAUGUUUAGGGUAGGAACUUUAUUAUUUCGAAUUUUUAAAAAUAGAAAAUACCAAAAACAUAAAUUUAGGAUAUUAGAUUUUCGUUUCACUGAAUUAAGUUGUAUGUUUAAUUAUUUGCUAAUUUUGAUUAAAAAAAAGGAGCAAAAAAAAAACAAAAAAGAAGAAAAAAUUAGAAUGAGGCAUCCUUUGCACGUCAUUACAUAUUAGGAUAGUUUAAUUCUAGAAAAUAUUUUAUAAGUUUAGAUGAAUUACAUCUUAGGUUAGAGAUUGCUAAGUUAAGAUAAUAUCUUAGUUUAAAUUAGGGUUUAGCCUGACCUAAUCCUUAAUAUAAGUUAGAAUCUUAAUUUAGUUAGAUAAUUUUCACAUUUUUCUAAUUUCGAAUUUCAUGAAAAAUACAAAAAGUGUCUUAGGAUAAAUUAGUUUCAAUCUUUAGGAUAGGUUGAAUGCUUUUUAAGAAAAUAGAAAAUGUCAUGUGCAUGCCAUAUAAAAUUGGGUUCAUGAAAUGCAUGUUACUUAGUUAUUGUGGUUAGAUCCAUUUAGCUAUAAAUUACAUGUGAUUAGGUUAAAUUGCAUUGCAUUGCAUGACUCUGAAAACGAAAAAAAAAAUUGCAUGUUAAUUUUUUAUUUUUAUUUUUCGGCGUGUUAAUUAGAAAUCAUAUUUAGGGUUGAUGUGAAUUCUUAUCUAACAACCCAGAUGCUUUCGUUACUAAAAGAUAGUUCCGUAAUUUAUUCAUUAUUUUCUUAGAUGUUAAAUUGGUGAAUUGCGCACCCGCAUGAUCACCUCACAUGUUAGGAAAAUCGAUUUAAAAUUAAUCCAAAGCUGCCCGCAAAAACAUUUUUGAAUAUUAAAAAGAAAUUGUACCGAAAGGACAUUAGAAAAAUCUAGUGUAAUCAAGUUUCCAUACCAUUAGCCUCUAGUUCGUAGGACAAUUAUUUUACCUAGGUAUCUAAUCGACUUAUCGAAAUCUGAUUAGUGGCGACUUCUAGAUAAUAAUUAUUUGCAUGUUAAGAGGUUUGAACUUAAGUCACGAAUUGAUAUGGGCUUGAGAGAACCCAAGUUAAAUCUAGACUUAACAAUCCAUUAGUCAAACUCUAGAUGGUUCAGCCUCUAAAUUUUGGUCACAACAUUCACUCAAAAAUUUAGGAUUACAAUCAGAAUGUAUAGGACUGAAUUUGAAUUUAUACAAUAAGCUUACAACUGAAUUGCAAUUCUCCCAACUCAACACCUACACUUAUAAUAAGUUUUUUUCCUUUUAAUAAGAGGCUUCGGAUAUAAGAACUUAACAGGGUACGUCAUGAGAGAAGGAUGUGAUGAAAUGUACCAUCGUGCAUUUCUUUGAAGAUAUAAUGUAGUAAUGCAAUCUCGAUGGAUAUUCCUAAGAACUCACGAGAAGACAACUCCCAGUAACAACGAGGUACAAUGGAAAUGAACAUUCAAAGCCCAAGAUUAAUCCGGGGAAAAAUGGAAAAGUUUGGAACAACAAACUUUGAUUUACAUAACAUGAAGUAAGAACGACGUGAUAAGUGAAUUCAAGCAUCCCGUGGAAUUCUAUUAGCACUGGCAGCCUCUACUGAUUCCUGUUCUACCACAACUUUAGUCCUCGAAGGCCGCUCGUUGGGAGUCAUUUGGAGGCAUUGUAAAGCAAGCUGUGCUAUUUGGAAUGCAUAAUCUAUAUAUGUAAGGUAUAGGGAUGGUAUAAAUUUGGUUCUCAUUUCCUGCAGGCCGCCAACAUCGUGAGCCACUAGCUUCUUCCAAAAUAUCUAGUGUUUCUUUUUCGGUAAUUGGAGCAUCUGCAGAAAUGAAAAGUUAUGUAGGCAAUACAAUCGUAGAUUCCAUGCCAAAGGAUUUAAGUAGCUAAAAGGAAAACACACCUCGUAUUUCAUAGAGGGAUUAUAGUGAACCUCACACCAGAAACUCAACCAAAACUCUGCAUCAAUUGAAAGUAAGGUUAAUAAAAGGAAAAACUCAAAAAAUAUGGAGUUUCAAAAGACCAGUUGCACAUUGAACAAAAGCAACAGUAGAUCAAUUGCAAAUGUUUACACCUAGGUUUAAAAUCAAUCAAAUAUAUAUUAAGCCGUACCCAAGCAGCUGUUCUAAGCAAGCAAAAGAACAAAUAUUUAAUUUCCUAAAUGAACAACAAGCAAAGCAUUGCGAAGGAGGGUCUAUGCGUAUAUGUAUGCAAGCAACACAAGCAACACUCUUUUUUCCAAGACAAAUGAGAAGUAAAAUAUCAACUUCACAUUGAACAUUGCACCAACUGAUCAUUUGACCCGACAAAACAACUAUGAAGAAGAAUAGCAAGCAAUACCCUAGGCAGAGGGAACUCAUAAAUCCAAUGGCCCAACAAUAAUCAAGUUAUCAAUAUAAGUAUCAUCAAGAGGUUUUAAACCUCCUUCAGGCUCUCGAACAUCAACCAAAAAAGCAUUGAACAUCAAUGGUACCAGAACGAUUGACUUCAUCAUUCUUCGAAAUUCUGCAUUCUGACAGUCGCUCACUGCCAUCAUAGGGUAUUACCUAUCAUAUAUCCGACCAUCAAUCACAGCAUGGACUAAUCUAUUCCAAACAAGCUCAAUCACAGAGAGUAUCACAACCAAAAGCACAUAACAGAACAAUCUGUGAUGAUAGAAAAAAUGAUACCCUAGGCAACAUCAAGCCGCUGCCAUUAAGUUCAAUCAAGCAAGCCAAAUAUGGGGUAAAACAGUAAUAAAUCGAUAGGCACUGCAAUUUUGACACAAAUUAGCCAAUCAAACCGAAUCAUGUCCAAGCCCAAUCAAAGGCAACUAAAUUGCCAACCGGAUUGAGCUGGACAUCACUGGCAGAGAUUAGUAGUGAAAGCGAAGGUGCCCUGCUGGUGGAGGUCUAGAGUGAGAGGAAGUCGUCGCAAUAGACCUUGCGCUUCAGCUUCUACUUCGGGUGCUUCGUGAAGGUGACAUUUCAGCACACACAGACUCAAGCACAUAACUCAUUUCAUCAAACACCGAAAUUGCACAUGAUCACCGAACAUUGGACAGGCAAAACUUAGUUGGUUCACACGUACACAAAGCAUAAUUCAGCACACUAAUUACAAACAUGAUCCAAAAGCAGUUCAGGAUUGAAAAAGAAAACAAGAGCACAACACCGAUCCGCUCCUAGAACCUGCAUUGUUGGCUCAAAAUGCGGGCGUUGAGUCCAUCACAGAGCUGAAAGCUCUGAUGUAUUCAUCCGUGGGAUUCUGUUUACAGCAUAGCAAAUUUAUCUCCCAUGCGAAGUGAGGUUAUCAAUUUCAAAAUAUGUGUGAAGCAGCAAAUCAACAACGAUCUCUAAUAAUUUGUUACAUAUCAAAUAAAAAUGAUGCAAUCGACAUACAUACCUCUAGGAGAAACCAUCCUAAGAAAAUGUAGCUAAAAAAGCCAAACCAAACUAGGAAAAGAACACAAAUACUUGUACAUAAUUAAGAGCCCUCUGGCUGCUCGGAGGCAUCAUAAUUUAAAUACCUUCAUCAGAUUUUCAGACAAGAAUCCGCUAAAAGGUCAUUAAAAAGUGCAUGCGAAACUUCUCUGUUCAUAUCUGUGAAAGAAUUUGAUUGCCAAAAAAGGAAAACAUUGGUACUUACCUGGAUUCGUUUAAGGUUUUAACACAAGGGAACAAUUCGUGGUCGUCCUUCAAAAAGCUUCCAAGCGGUAAUUUGUCUUCUUCAUCGUUUUCUCCCACAAAUUUGAUUGACUUCUCCGAGCAAAGCCGAGAAAUUUCCUCCACUGCUAAUUUCCCACAACAUCUUAUUGUAACCUCUCGCAGUCCCUUCAAGCUUGAUAGAUCAUGCAACUUCUCUAAAGAUUCACAGGAUACAAUCUCCAGGUAUUUGAAAGAUUGGGGUAGUUCACAUUGAAUCUCAACCAGAUUACCACAAUCGAUUAUGUAAAUACUCCUUAGCUUGUUUAACUUGCUUAGAUCAGGUAGCAUUGCCAGCUGUCCGAGGUAAUUAAACUCCAAAUCUCGUAGGUUCUCCAAACAACCAAGGCCUUCAAUCUCUGCAACUGGACAGUCCCCAAUCACGAGAGACGAUAGUUUCCUCAAAUUCGAUAGAUCCAUCGAGCAAAGUGAGUGGCAACACCAAAUGUCAAGAGACGAAAGUUUCCUCAAAUUCGAUAGAUCCAUCGAGCAAAGUGAGUGGCAGUGCGAAAUAUGGACAAUCGAUAGUCUCCUCAAAUUUGAUACAUCCAUCGAGCAAAGUGAGUCGCAGAGCAAAAUAUCGAGAGACGAUAGUUUCCUCAAAUUCGAUAGAUCCAUCGAGCCAAGUGAGUCGCAACCAGAGAGAUGUAAGGAGGAUAAAUUUGAGGGAAGCCUCGGGAGGUGACGUGGAUGAAGAGGGAGGCUGAGGUCUAUCGAUGAGGCGGUCUCCUUUAAAAAGCGCAGGUGCAAAGAUUCCAAUUGGCUUAAGUUCCCAAUCCACCGCGGUAUCGGUUCUUCUAGAAGCCCAUAAGAUUCAUAACCAUAGGUGUGAUCGCCAAUUCUUGCUUUGAAAUCCUUGACAUGAUUCUCAUCGUAGCUGAUUUCCUCUGGGUCGCCCUUCUUCGACUUCACACAGGCAUUGCGUAUUCUCUCUGAUAUCGUUCUGCAUCUUCAUUACUUUCAAUUUCUUCAACAUUCCAAUGGAAUUGGGUACUUCUUCAAUGGUCGUGUGACUUAUGUCCAACUUGGUUAGCGAAUCCAAAUUUCCAACUGUCUCCGGAAGCCUCUGGAGAUUCCAACAAUAGCUUACAUCUAAGAAAACCAAGCUUUUCAUUUGACAAAUUGAUCUAUCAAUUUCGAUUAAUGAUUCACAGCCUGAUAGAAUCAAAUGUUUUAAAUUUGAAUGAGCUGAGAAGUUGGGGGUUCUCUUCAAGUGUUGGCAAUAGGCCAGAUUUAGAAUUUUCAAAUUUUUUAUCACUUGUGAAAGAAAAAUCAUGCAAAGUUUAGUUUUGAAUCUAAUAAGACGGAAGAAUAAGUGUUGUCUAGCAUAUAACAUACCAAACCCAAGAACUUCACAUUCAUCACAUUGCACCUACAAAACAAUACCCUCAGCAGAGGGAACUUAUAUAUCCAAUUGCCAAACAAUAAUUAGGCUGCGAAUAUAAGUGUCAUCUAGAGGCUUUUGCCCUCCUUCAGGCUCUCCAGCAUUGACCAAAUAAGCAUUGAACAUCAGUGACUCACCAGAAUAGGUAACUUCAUCAUUCUUCAAAAUCCUGCAUUCCAACAGCUGCUUGCCGCCAUCAUACGGCAUUGCCUAUCAUAUAUCUGACCAUCAAUCACAGCAUGGACUAAUCUACUCAAAACACGCUCAAUCACAGAGAGUAUUACAAUCAGAAGCACAUAACAGAAAAUCCAUGAUGAUAGAAAAAAUGAAAUCCCAAGCAGCAUUGAGCUGCUGCCGUUCAGUUCGAUUGAGCAAGCUAAAUUUGGGAAAAAAAGGGUAAUAAAUCGAUAGCCACUGCAGUUUUGACAUAGAUUAGCCAAUCAAACAGAAUCAUGUCCUAGCCCAAUCAAAGGCAACUAAAUUGCCGAUCGGGUUGAGCUGGACAUCAAUGGUAGAGAUUAGUGGUGAAAGCAAAGGUACCUUGCUGGUGGUGGCGUGGAGAGAGAGGAAGCCGCCACAAUAGACCUUGUGCUUCAGCUUCUGCUGCAGGUGCUUCUUGAAGGUGACAUUACAGCACAUGCGGUCUCAAGCACAUAGCUAAUUUCAUCAAACACCAAAAUUGCACAUGAUCACCAAACACUAGACAGGCAAAACUUAAAUGGUUCACACUCACACGAAGCAUAAUUCAGCACACUAAUUACAAACACAAUCCAAAAGCAGUUCGGGAUUGAAAAAGAAAACCAGAGCACAACAUCAAUCCGUUCCUAGAACUUGCAUUGCCAGCUCAAAAGGCAAGCGUUGAGUCCAUCACAGAGAAGUCAUACUGGAUUCCUGAAAGCUCUGACGUAUUCAUCUGCGGGAUUCUGCUGAGUCUGGAUGUUCUGUGUCAGGGCAAUAAGGAUGGCAAUGCCAGAUUUCUGUCCCUCAAGAUUCUGUUUGAUGCGAUGUUCGUUUUCCUAAUCAAAACUCCAGAGUUAGAGCAUAAGCUGGCAGACUUGAAAUCCAUAUCCUAGGUGCAAUUUCGCCCUCUUUGGCCAACCUUGAAUGAGGAUGAGGACCCCGAUACCAAUGUGUGUGCAGAAGCUCCUCCUGAUGCUCAUAGAGUUCAACUUGACUAAAAUUUCUGAGACUCUACAACCAAAGACAGUCAGCCACUGCUUCAGAUUUUCACUUGGAGAUCUGUCCUGUGCAAAUGUGAAUGAUGUUGAGCUGUGCAUGGCUCUGGCAUCGGCUCCAGAAAUGGAUCCCAAGUUGCUUUCUCAACUGAAAGUAGUAUGGUGGAUUGGAAUCCUUUUGGAGUUUGUACAUGCGAAGAAUAUGGAAGAAUUUCUCAAAUUGACGCUUGGCUUGUGUAAAGCUCUUCUUUUACGAUCACUAGGUUCUAUGAAAGGUUCUGCGUACAUGGAAGAGCCACCACUACUUGAUGAAAGUUCUUCUGAGGUAGCGAGUAGCAUAUGAUGCAUAACUGACUUUGGUGGCAGUGCCAGUGUUUUCCUGGAAUUGAGUGGAUCUCAUCACAGAAACAAUGCCGAUAUUGCUUCAGAAUGCACAGUUCUAUUACUGAAAGCAGCCCCAAGGGAAGGUGCUCUCUUUUUCUUACCAAUCUUUUGUAAGUGAGUGCAAUUCUCAAGUCUCAGCAAAAGGGCGCUCCUUAUCUACUGGUACAGCGAAUGCUGCAUUCUCUUAGUUACUCCUGUAGGCGGUGUUUGCUGCACAGAAUGAUUUUUGUCAGUGUGCCUGUCAAAGAUUGCUAUGAUUGAAGGCAUCAUUGCUGAGAUAAAAUAUUCUGGUGCUGCUGCUUUAGCCAGUGCUGCCACACUGGUAAUCUCAGAAUUGCGGUGGCUCCCUCAUUUAUGACUUCUCUCCAUAACAUUUGCAAAUCCCACUAAGAAGCACACCUUUCCUGAAAAAUAAACUGAACUUAAGCAUGGCAAUACAGAGUGUCUGUCUACUUCAAAGUCGCAACAAUGAGUUGAUUGUACUGUAAAGUCCCAGGAUGAGAAUUUGUAUGACCUUCCAACACACAUUCCAUCUAUUUGUUUACAGCAUAGCGAAUUUAUCUCCCAUGCAAAGCGAGGAUAUCAAUUUCAAAAUAUGUGUGAAGCAGCAAAUCAACAAUGAUCUCUAAUAAUUUGUUACAUAUCAAAUAAAAAUGAUGCAAUCGACAUACAUACCUCUAGGAGAAACCAUCCUAAGAAAAUGUAGCUAAAAAAGCCAAACCAAACUAGGAAAAGAACACAAAUACUUGUACAUAAUUAAGAGCCCUCUGGCUGUUCGGAGGCAUCAUAAUUUAAAUACCUUCAUCAGAUUUUCAGACAAGAAUCCGCUAAAAGGUCAUUAAAAAGUGCAUGCGAAACUUCUCUGUUCAUAUCUGUGAAAGAAUUUGAUUGCCAGAAAAGGAAAACAUUGGUACUUACCUGGAUUCGUUUAAGGUUUGAACACAAGGGAACAAUUUGUGGUCGCGCUUCAAAAAGCUUCCAAGCGGUGAUUUGUCUUCUUCAUCAUUUUCUCCCACAAAUUUGAUUGACUUCUCCGAGCAAAGCCGAGAAAUUUCCUCCACCGCUAAUUUCCCACAACUUCUUAUUUUAACCUCUCGCAGUCCCUUCAAGCUUGAUAGAUCAGGCAACUUCUGUAAAGAUUCACAGCGAAUCGACAAUGUUUCCAAAGAGUGGGGUAGUUCGCCUUGAAUCUCAACUAGAUUACUGCACUGCCAUACUAGAAUACGCCUUAGCUUGUUUAACUUGCUUAGAUCAGGUAGCAUCGCCAGCUGCUCGAGCUUAUAAAGUUUCAAAACUCGUAGGUUCUCCAAACAACCAAGGCCUUCAAUCUCUGCAACUGCAGUGUCACAAAUCGAGAGAGACGAUAUUUUCCUCAAAUUCGAUAGAUCCAUCGAGCAAAGUGAGCGGCAGCGCGAAAUACGGAGAGACGAUAGUUUCCUUAAAUUCGAUAGAUCCAUCGAGCCAAGUGAGUGGCAGUUCCAAAUAUGGAGAGACGAUAGUUCCCUCGAAUUCGAUAGAUCCAUCGAGCAAAGUGAGUCGCAGAGCAAAAUAUCGAGAGACGAUAGUUUCCUCAAAUUCGAUAGAUCCAUCGAGCCAAGUGAGUCGCAACCAGAGAGAUGUAAGGAGGAUAAAUUUGAGGGAAGCCUCGGGAGGUGACGCGGAUGAAGAGGGAGGCUGAGGUCUGUCGAUGAGGCGGUCUCCUUUAAAAAGCGCAGGUGCAGAGAUUCCAAUUGGCUUAAGUUCCCAAUCCACCGCGGUAUCGGUUCUUCUAGAAGCCCAUAAGAUUUCCCAUCACAAUUAGGUGGGCCAAGGCCCAGAUGCAACACCUUUAAGUUAGCGAGAUUUGAGAGAUCCGGAACCGCGUCCACCCUCAACUUCUUCAGUUCUAAUUCGAUGAGACUUUCAGGAAGCCUUGGUAGGGCGUGUACUCCCGGCCAUCCCAUUCCCCACUUCCUUAGGGAUUCAUAACCAUAGAUGCGAUCGCCAAUUCUUGCGUAGGUAUGCUUGAUAUAAUCUUGAUGGUAGGAGAUUUCCAUUGGGGAUAUCUUCCCCAACUUCAAACAGGCAUUGCGUAUUCUUCUUCCGAUAUCAUUCUGCAUCUUCAUUACUUCCAAAUUCUUCAAGAUUCCAAUGGAAUUGGGUACUUCUUUGAUGGUCGUGUGACUUAUGUCCAACUUAGUUAGCGAAUCCAAAUUUCCAAUUGUCUCCGGAAGCCUAUGAAGAUUCCAACAAUAGCUUACAUCUAAGAAAAUCAAGCUUUUCAACUGACAAAUUGAUCUAUCAAUUUCGAUUAAUGAUUCACAGCCUGAUAGAAUCAAAUGUUUUAAAUUUGAAUGAGUUGAGAAGUUGGGGGUUCUCUUCAAGUGUUGGCAAUAGGCCAGAUUCAGAAUUUUCAAAUUCUUUAUCACCUGUGAAAGAAAAAUCAUGCAAAGUUUAGUUUUGAAUCUAAUAAGACGGAAGAAUAAGUGUUGUCUAGCAUAUAACAUACCUUCACGUGGCUCCACCCCUUCCAAUCAUGAGUAAUUUCACUCCAAGAUAGAUCAAGGAUAAUCAAAUUCUCUACAGAGAAAUUUGCAAUAUUAAAUGUUGGGCGAAUAUUAUGCCAAGAAAGCCAUCGUAAUCGUGGAAGGAGAUCUGAAUUCCUUCGGAAAAUAUUAGUUGGAAGAGCAUAUAACGGCCAUUUGAGCCAAAGAAGCAACUUUUCUCCACGAAAAUUUUCCUUCAAGUCAUUUACUUCAAGGAACGUUAGAUAUUGCAGGCUCUUAAAGUCAUCAUAGGUAAAACGGUGCUGAUCAUCAAACUUGAGACAAAGAGCUUCAACUUCUUUCUUUUCCUGCCCAAAGGAAAAAUUUUAAAACAAAAAAGUUAAAAAGAAACACGUUUCUUCAAGUUCACUAUUUUAAGGGGUUGAGUUGACUACGGUCAUUCCUUUAAAAUCUUAAAAGACCAAAAAUAUCGGUUGAGUAGGUCGUGAUGGUGCUAGAGAACACAAAAAGUAACUGCCUUUUUUUAAAAUAGAAAAUUUUCAUAAGUAACUUGGAGAUUUGUUGCGCUAAGGCAUUUUACCUCAUGUCUCUUCAGCAAUUCCAAUCCGUCCUUGGGAUUCCACACAUGACGUCGCUUCUCAAUUUUCAUCUUACUUUCUUGACGAACUAUUUCUCUUCCCAUGUCUCUAAGUUGAUCAUGCAUCCACAAUUUAUUAUCUAUUCCAAUUUUUAUUAAAGACAUGUUCUGCAAAACUUCCAAGGCUACUUCCGAAAAAAGUUCAGAUGCAUCCCAGAAAUAGACCACAAUGUCUUUGUGAUAUCCAAUGAAUUGGCAAGCUAUAUAAAGGAAUAUAUGCUGCUGCUGAUCAUUUAAGGCAUCAUAACUUAUUUUCAGCUUACUCUGAACUUCAUCAGGAGGAAUACUUUCUAGCUUCUUCAAUGUGGCAUCCCACAUUUCCUUAUUUUUGUUGGAUAAAAGUGAACCUAUGACCUCGAGGGCCAAUGAAAGACCUCCAGCAAUGUGUACCAUCCUCUUGGAUCGGUCGAUAUACUCGUCUUUUGGAGAAUCUCUUCUGAAGGCAUGUUUGCUAAAAAGUUGAAGAGAUAGAUUCGGAUUCAAGCCUGUAAGCUCAUACCUCCAGUCCACUUUCGAGGCAUGGAUAACAUCUUUCCUUCUUGAAGUAAUAAUAAGUUUGCUCCCUUUACCAAACCAAUCACGCUCACCUACAAGUGCAUUUAUAUGAUCCUUUUCUUCCACAUCAUCGAGAAGAAGCAGGACUUUUUUAUUAGACAACCUUUUUCCAAUGAUCUCAAUCCCUUCAUCGAUGUUUCUUAUAUCUGUCCUUGUUAUCUUAAGGAUAUCAGAGAUGAGCUGUUGCUGCAAGUAACAAAUGCCCUUGAGAUUUGACGUUUCACGGAUGUUGGAAAGGAAGCAACAAUUGUUGUACUUGUCGGAAAGCUUAUUAUAGAUUAAUUUUGCAAUCGUUGUCUUUCCAACGCCACCCAUCCCAUGAAUUACCACAAUCCGCAUUUCACUUGUGUGAGCACCUAUCUUUUCCAUGAUUUUAUGCACAUGGUGGUCCACACCAACCAAGUUGUUCGAUACCGCCAAAUAAGCCUUCUUCAACUCAUUGAAAACCUUAUGGGUAACCAUCUUUGUGAUCUCACCUUCUUCCCUAGUGUUUGUCGGAGGUCAAAUGGCAAUGAGUUAGAAAAUUGUAUUAAACCAAACUAUGUUCUCACAAGACCAAAGUGAAAACUAAAGACCUAUUCGAAAUGCUUUCUACAAGGAUUUACUCCAUUGUAAAUGAAUUAGCGUUCGCACAUAUGGUUAAUGAAUGACAUUAACUAGAAAAAAAAAAAGUUAUUUGGAAUGAAAAAGGACAAAAUUGGGAUUGUACCACUAUUUUGUGUGAUUUUCGCAAUAUAAUUUCAAUAGCAUAAUAUUCAAUUUCAACAAGGCUAACACAAAUCUAGAAAAGAAACCAAUUGAACCACAUUAAAGGUUUUAAUGGUACAAUGCACAUCAAAUGGAAUGAUAGAGGUAGUCACCUGUUGGUCUUGUUGUGCAGAUCCCACCCUUUUAUUGCCGCAACUGCACUCAGAGCAGUCUUCCAUUGACGCAUAGUCUCUUCGUCAUAUUGAUUCUUCUUUUCAUGUGAAAGAAAGGCCUCUCUAUAACCCCCAGUUUGGUGGCGAACCUCUGAAGGUGCCACAUCAUAAAAAAUGGGCAUGAUCUUUUGUCCCCUAGUGUUUUGGCACUCAACCAUUUGGACUAGCUCCUUAAGACACCAUACGCUAGAGGCAUAACCUUUUGAAAAUAUAGGUAUUGAGAUCUCUGAUUGAUUUAUUGCUUGGAGAAGUUCCGGGCCAAAUUCUUCCCCCUCGCAGAGCUCUUUGUCAUCCUUAUAAACGCGGAUUCCCGCAUCUAUCAUACUAGUGUAAAGGAAGCUGGUAAAACCCGUUCGAGUAUCCUCUCCUCUGAAGCUCAAGAAUACUUCAUAUGCAUAUCUUGAUGAAUUAACCAUUCCUUGACCUUCUGUCACAGUGUGAGUAAAGGAAGCGCUCCCUGCUAUUCCAUCAUUUUUAUAGAUAUGUUGUGUUUCUACGCUCCCCUCCAUUGAUUUACUCAAUCUGAUCUUUAAGAAAUACCGAACAGCAUAUUAGCAAAAGUAGUGGCAGCCAAAGAUGGAAAAUGUUUAGAAGCCUGACUGACAAAUAAUGGAGAUCUCUGUAGGUCAUUAAACGUAGUAUUCAAGAUUAGCUAAAUAUGCAGAGAGUCAUGGGCCAGUGUGCAACAAUUGUUCAAUAAGAAUGAUUCAUUGCAGCACCGCUCCAGCCUAUCAAAGUUGACAACGCAUGUGAAUAUAUGAGUAUUAAAUCUCAAGGGGCAUUUUAACACCUUAAGGAGAUUAAAUCUCCUGAGAACGUUGACAUAGCACAGUGCAAAGUUCUCAUUUAAAAAAAAAAAAAAAUAGCUCACUCUUCUCAAAUCUUGAGAAUAUAAAUUAUUUCCUAGGAGUUUUAAAUCUCAAAGGGAAAGCAUGAACAUGUUCUCAUUUGACAUAACACGAUGCAGAGCAUCUUUUUUAAAAAAGGAAAGUUCCACACUUCUCAAAUUUCUACAAUAUAAAUUGUUUUUCUUUAAUGUCAUUUCUGCAAAAAUGACCUUCACUCUCUCUAGAAUGGAUCAAAAAAUUAAUUAGAGCUAUUCAUGUGAUGGGAAGUUGUAGUUUGUAAUCUUACACGUUUCUAAAAUUCCGUAAACCAAAAAUGGAGUUUUGUUUCAUGCGUGCUAGAUUUAAAGAACCAAUUAUAAACUUGAAGUAUCACUGGUAAGUAAAAACUAAUCGAUAACUUGUGAAUCUGGGCAAUUGUUAGAAAGCUAUCAAAAAAAUAGUUUUUUCAUCCUCAAACCAAAUAGUGGAUUACCAUUUUUUCUUUUAGAUUUUACAAAUGGGUUUGUAUUUUUGCUUAUAGGAUAUGAAUGCUUACAUACUUUAUUAAUAGUCUCGAUUGAUGUUCCAACUUACAAACAAAAUACCUAUUUCAGCCCCUCUAAAUUCAAAUAUGGUGUUAACACCGUUUCGAAUUUAUGAGUAGCAAUGUUCAUUUGUAAAUACUACGUGAACAAAAUAAUCCAUUUACCAUAUGGAAAAUACUCUUGUAACUUACGAGCAAUUGUUUGCUUUUAUAAGUGGGCAAGUAUUUUUGGUAGUAAAACUAUGAGUUGUUUGCAAGCUUUGUUAGUAGUCUUGGUUAAGGGUGGUAACUUACAAACAAAUAACUAUUUUACAAGUAUAAAUCUUUACUAUAUUAUUAACCUUGUUUUGAUAUCAUGAGUUGCAAUUUUAUUGUUAGUAACAUGCUAACGAAACAACUAAUUUACCUACUUCAAAUAUUCUUGCAGAUCACGAAUAGUCAUCUACUUUUUUACAAGUUGGUGUGUUUUUCCUCUAGUAGAUUACGAUUUCCCUACAUAUUUUUUACUAGCUAGUCCUAAAAAAAAUAACCAUUUGAUUACCCUAAAUUUUUAGUAGAUUAUUAACAUUUUUUGACGUCUAUUUGUCAGUAACAUUACCAACAUUUUUUAUGCAACUGUACGUAUGCCAGACAAUUGUGUGUACUUCUUUACUAUUGAUAUUGAUGAGUAUUUGUAUUUAUGAAGCAUUCUACUUGUUUAUAUAGUAAAUUGUAAGACACCAAUUGAAAGCUCUGCGAUGACUAAAUAUGCCACAACGAGAUGACAGGUGGUAUUUUUUCAAAAUGAUGUUGCAACAUGAUUAGGCAUUGACAAAGUUAACGAUAUAUAAGGUUUGGAACUUAUAUAAUUUACAACCAAAUAAUAGUGUGGUUCUGUGUUAUUCAACAUCUAAUGCAUAAUACAAGAUUCAAUAGCAAUUUCAUGUAUGCUUCCAAUGUAAUUUGUUCGUUUGAUAAUCUAAUCGCGGUGGUUGAGAGUUUGCUAUAUCUAGGGAAGAAUGUACAUAGAGUAUUAGCUUCCUCUAUAAUUACUCUAUAGAAUUAGGAGAUGCGCAUGCCAUCAUUGUCAGGCAUCUCAAAAUUAAAGAUGUCCACACUGAAUGAUUAUUGUAUUAGCGUUGGGCUCCAACUUCAUAGACUACUAUUAUGAAAGAAAGAAGAAGAUUCCUCUCAUAUCUAAGCUCGAAAAUUGGUUCUGUUUUAUAUUGGUCCUAUAGACGUGCCCCUCCACUUUCCAAUAUACUAAUAGUGUCGAAAUUUUUUCUGCCAAGGACUUGUAGACAUGGUGAGACUGUUAGUCGAUAGGAAUUCCGAGUUGAAGAUAAAAUACCAAUACACGGCUAUUCAUUUGAUGUGUUAAAAUAAAAAUUAAGUGCCAAUAUUGUAGCUAUUACUUCAAGUAUAGCUCGACGUUCGAAUUGGAUUUGAACAAGAAUAUGAGUUUAAGUAGCUUAAAUCUAGCCUCCAUGACUCUGCCUUUAUGAUUUGAUCACCUUAUGUGAUUCAAGGAUCUUGUUGCUUUCAACUUCAUCUUAAGAUAACGUGUAAAACCAAUUAUUGAUAAGAGUCAGCAAUCUACUGACCACAUGGAUAAAAUUUCAUAGGAGUUGGUUAACUCCUUCAUUAAUAUAUUGGCAUUUUUUUUAUAGUGUUGGUAAGUAAAUUUCAGAGGAGUUGGUAAUAUAUUAAUUCAUUAAUAUGUUGUUAAAUUCUUGUAUGUGCCAAUAAUUGAUUUAUGAUUCCAGUAAUAAGAGUUGGUAAUUAACCACUUGACUCGUAUGUCAGUGAAUUCUUGAUAUUGCUGGUAAUUUAUUUAACACUGGUAAAAUUUGAGAGUGGGUACUUUAAUACUUCCAUGUAAUGUUUGUAAAUUCUUAGAUUGUGUCAGUAAUAUACUUACCACGCUCAUAAAAUUUUGUAGGAGUCGGUAAUUUACUAUUUUAUUGGCAUGUUUGUAAAUUUCUAAAGAUGUCAGUACUUUACUUACAGCAAUGAUGAAAAUUUUCAAGUGAGUUAAUUUACUACUUCAUUGGAAUGUCGGUAAAAUUUAGAUAAUCUUGGUAAUUUACUAAUCACACUGAUAAAAUAUCAUAAGAAAUAAUAAUUUACGAAUAUAUUGUCAGUCAACAACCAGAAGGUUUCAAGCUUGAAAUGCACUGGUGAAUGGAAGAAUAGCAGAGAUGAGAGCUAGAGAGCUCAAGAUCAGGAUGCAAGAAGCCAAGUCUCCAAUCAAACGAUUACUACAGUACUGUGGAAUAUUUGGAAGUCAAGAAACCAGGCCUAUCUUCCAUAAUAGAAAACCAGAACCAAGCAACCUUGUAGAGUUUGCUUUAGCUGGGUUGAAGAGUUUCAACAGAUGGACCCCAAAAUCGAGCGAAUCUAGUAAGACCAGGGACGGAUCGUCACGAUUUUGGAACCCACCGCAGGCUGGAACACUAAAGAUAAACAUAGACGGUGUGUACGAACCUGGAGCUACUGGAGGCUCGAUCGCUUGCGUCUGUCGUGAUUUCGCGGGGAGGUUGGUGGACGGAGUGGUGCGAGCAGUAGCGGCGCCUUCUGCGUUCGAAGUUGAGGCUCUUGCCCUCUUUUAGAAGCCCUAACUCUGUCUGUAUCCUCAAAGAAAAGAAGCCCUUGUACGUGAGUCUCACAGCUUAUUAUAGUCUUUUUCAAAUAUUCAGGUCAGCCAUGGCGUUAGAGAGGCCAAGUCGCGGACUGGGUAAAGCCCAUGAGAGAAAAGCCCAUUUAUCAGACCUUUCGAUAUUUUCUGCUUAGUGAAGUAUUUCACUUUAUGACAAAAAAUAGAAGAAGGUAGUCUCCAAUCUCAAGGAGCGAACGUGCGAGAGUUUGGGGUUGACACUUCAUAAUGCACGAUGCACACUUUGUUUUUUCCCCCAUAAUGCCUUUAUUUGAUAGUGAUAACAUUCAGUUGCAACCUUAUAAAAGCGUCUGAAAGGAUACUUUCCAAGAUUUCACUUUUAUUUGUUUUUUCUUUGAAGAGUGGUAGCUAAUUCAACUUUUAGUCUAAUGAUUGUAUUUCGAUGCAACCAAAAACCACAUGUAUACGGCACUUUCGUACUUUCCAUUUAGUUCAAUCGGACGGCAUCAACUUUUCUAUUGAUUGAUGACACGAUUAGCUAAACUAUUUAAAGAUCAAAAUAUUUUUGAAUAGAUGGUGUUUGUUUGCAAGUAUUUUUUUUUUAUUUUCAAAAUCAAUUUUGUGGUAAUUAAACAUUCCAUGUUUCACAAUAGAAAACAGAAUCUUGCUAGAUCUAGAGGUGCGAAAAUGUUCCAUUCCGAAAUUCGUAAGUUUAUAAGUCUUUUUAGGCAUAAAUCCAAGUGUGACCAAAAAAUAAAUUGAAGAUUGAAGUUAUAACUCAUGUUGACUCGAUGAGUAAAAAAAAAACUCUUGCAAAGUACGAAUGGAAGAUCAAAUUUGUUCUCUAGUGGCUUUAGCUUUGAUUAUACUCCACUAAACUUUUGUUUUAGUAAUCAAAAGUCCAAAAGUCGCAUCACAAUUUUUCAAAUCACACUCCUUCCAUUUGAACCGAAAUUGAGCUUCCUCUAUUAGCUUAAAAGCUUGAGGAAGAAGAGAAUACAGGUAGGAUCCCACUGCCUGACUGCUGCUCUUUUGAAUGGAAAAAAAAAGACCUUUUAUAUAGAUUUAGGCCUUAACUAUAUGGAGCUUUGCUCCUUCCUGCAGAAAAAUUAAGGAACUAAAAAGGAAGGUCAUUGAACUUAGAAGCCAAGGGGGAUUGGAUGAAUAUGCAGAGAGAGUUGUGGGCCAAUGUCCACCAAAAUUUGGUCAAUAAGGAUGGUUCCUCAUCAUCACUCCGGCCUAUCAAAGUUCACAAAUUAUUGCGUUUCUUAUGCAGAAAAUCAAUGGGAUAUAUGCUGUAAAAAUUUUGGGAUUAGAAUCAACUUUCGCCCCCAAAUCAAUGGGCGGAUUCAUUCAAAGUCAAAUUAACAAAAGCACACAUCAAAAUUCCAAAAAAAGUUUGUUUCCCUCCAUCCUAAUUAAGGUGAACUCCGAACAAUCCAGUUUAAUGGGCUGAUCGGGCCUAGGCCCGAAUUAACUCCGAAGCAUAAAGCCUAGUGGAAUUAUCGGGCUUGAUCUUCAUCAAAGCACUCCCCUAGUGAUCAAUCAAAUUUAGAAAAGAAUGCACUUUAUUUCGAGGGUGAACCAUCAUUCGCAUUUAACUUGUUGCUAGUGUCAAUAAAUUUCUCGUCACAAAGCAUUGUAGUUGGACAUCAAAUCCAUGCAUUGUGCUGAUUAUUAUACAAAACACUACUAAAAUAGAGUACAUGAAACCAAUGUGUAAGAAGAGUCUUGUGUUGUAUUAAAACUUUGAGCCACUAACAAGUGCAAUAGAUAAGCUCAUGAACAUGAUGUGACCUAUUAGAUCCCAUUUGGAAUUUAACUCUAUUAGCAUUUUCAAAUUCCCAAUUGAACUUGGAAGCCUCUCCAAGACUAGCAAAAGUUCAAUGAAGCCUCUCCAAUGACUAUAAUGAUUAGAAAAAUAUACAUUGACUCCCCCCUAUCUUAAGUAUGAAAGUUCUCUAUUUUAGAUAAUGUCUUUUGGAGGUGUGGCUCUUCAUUCUCUUGGUUAAUGCUUGUGGAUUAUCUAUUACAAAAGAAAAGAAAGAGGCGAAAAUAUAAGAACUUGUGGACGACAUGAGAUUCUUCCAUGUUAAAUUUUGAGAAUUGGGAAAAAAGAGAAUUGCCACACCUCUAUUCAUUUGAAAUUAAACAGUUUGGGUCAUUAUUUUAGAUUUACCUUGACAUUGGAUAAUGUCAAACCAAGUCCAUUUGCAAUUGGAAUCAUUUUUAAAUAUAAUUAAGAAUUGUUACACCUCCUCUUCAACUUUUGUGAAUCCAACUUAAGAGCCAUGCUUUACCCGGAAAACAAAUUAGACAUGCGUUUACUGAUGUGGAGUAUACAUCUUCUUCAUGUCACAAUUUUGCAUUGGUUACUGUCAUAGAGGUGAUGCCAUAAGUGCUAAGAUACUUUCAUGCACAUUGUAACAGCUACUUCGUCUGAUAUAAUGAAGUUAGCGUUCUCCUGCGUGAAGAGUGGGCAUCAACCAAUUUCAAACACAGUAAGACAAAAACAGCAAUUUAUAAGGUAUCUCAUAUAGUUCACCACAUAAUAUUGACAAAAUAAUGCACUUGGAAUUUAUAUAAUUUGACUUGACCUCACUAGGUAAGUUAAUUAGCAAUUCAAAGCCACUGAAACGUCUAAACCAAACCAAACCAAAACAAAGAAGAUCUGAACAAGGGUACUCGCAGAACUAUAUCACUAGUCAACAUGCAAAGUGCACAUGAGAAGAAGAUUUGCAUAAACCUCCUUAUAAUUGAUAUGUAUAACAGAAUAGGAAGCACUUCUUAUCAGAAAAAAUGUACUCGAGAGAGUAGGUGUCCAUUCUUUUUUCUCGUGCAGAAAUUUGCCAAGUUUGAUCAAACAACUCCAUGACGUGCUGAGUUCCCAAAUCUCCCGUGGUGAAUGCCUACCCGAUCAGACUGAAUUGAGGUCAUACAGCAAUCCCUUUUUAAGGCAGGAAGUUCAUGUCUGACUUUCCCUUCCAUCUUGGUAGUUUGUAGAUGUAUUAUCUCCGUAAGAUGGAGAUUCUUGGUGUUUGUCCGUUAAGACUAGCAUGCGAAUCGAACAAAGUCAACCCCAAAAUCAUGCACGCUUACCAAUUAGUCGGGGGUUCACACCAAUAGCUCUCACAAUACUUUCUCUUCAUGUGAAGUCCUCUAACCGAGAUACACUCCUUUCAUCACUUAAUUCGAAUCAUUUCACUGUUCCCGCCGCUCCAUGGCUUAUCGCAGCAUCAUUAUUUGGACUGCCCUUUCCAGUGAUCUAUCUUGUGCUUAUUAGACUCCUCUGGAAGAAAUCUUUGAACGGAACAGCAAAAACAACGAUGGUAGCAACUGUCACCACACACAGGGCAACCUCAAGUGCGUCAAUUGUUUUGCGCUUAGCAGAAGUGGUCCACCUCGGCUAAACAACAAUCAUUGAGCUGCCGAAUCAGAAUCCGAAGUGACGAUCUGAAAUAAAAAUGGAAGGAGAGAGUCGGAGGGUGAUGGUGGGAUAUUCGGAGUAGUAUCAGAGUCGGUGUUGGAAACUGGUGGAAGCAGAGGAGGGUUCUUUGCGUCUUUCCGUAUUUUUGUUUUAAUUAGUUUCUCGAUUUUCCUUUUUAUCUUUUGGGGUUUGGGUUUUUCCUUUCGGUUGUUCUUUUCAUUUUUCGCAACACGCGAGUGGCGCGAAGAUUUCCCGCCAGCAAGAGAGGGGGCCAAAAUUGUAUUUUCGUUUCCCCUACCGCAGAAUUGAAGGCAGCAGCGUCGGCUUCCGCGCGAGAUGAGGCUCGCGCCUCUAGGAUCGGAGGUGGUCUGACCUGCCCUUGCUGCCUGACGCAACCGAGUCUCGAAUCGAUGGUCUGCGACUUUUUCCUCCGUAUAUUAAGAGAGUAGAGAGGGAAAAUCAAACGUAAUUUCCCUCCCUGACGUUUUCGCUGUGGAAGAUUAAGUUUGAACCAAAACUACUCAAUUUACACGUACGUAUACAGGCCGGUCAUUGCUGUCUUACCGCGUGCUAGAAGCCACGAAAUAUCUCCGUAUGAGGUAGCAAUAUAUGCAAGAUACAAGCUCGCCAAGGAUUCACUCACAAUGUGGUUCGAAUUUGUCAACUCUGGAAAAAUAGUAUGACCAGCCUAUCGUUAAGUCAUCGCGUUCGAGGAGGGGCUACAAUUUUUUCACGUUCAUUCUUCUUUCUUUUUCAACUCGUUUCAAGUGAAUGAGUCGUGUAUGAAUUUGAUAAAAGCAUGAGAGGUGUAUAAAUCUGUUUCGUGCUUAUUAGCACCUAAGUUUGAUGAGUGAUUGAUUUAUCAACGCUAGCUAUAAAUGAAGGGAUUUUGGGAUUGUUCUCUACAAAAAGUUAUUGUUACACCCUUCACGCUCUUGAAUCACUCCUUGUUCUUCACUUCCACUUGUUGUUUAGUGUACUAAUUUCUUUGUACUUUUUGAAUAACGCAAAUUUUUACAUUAAACUUGAAUCUGAAAAUAUUUGACUCAAGAAGCUUGCCAUCGUAAUGGAGUACUCAAUUGCAAUUUCAUAUGCCUCCACCAAUAUAAAUAAACAAAUGAAUUAUAUCAAUUUUAAUUUUUGUGCAUAGUAACUAAGUAAUUGAACCGUAGAACACCCAUUUGUCCAAAAGAACAUCUCAUUCUCUUGCGCUAAAAUACAAUAGCAGGCAUCCCUAUGCAGUCUUUUUCAAUGUUUCGAUUUUAGCAAAACUUACUUCAGUGCCCUCACGCACACGACGUAAAUCACCGAAUGUGACAUUAAAAAUGCCCACCAACAAAAUAAGAUCCCAGGGGCAAAUCAAGAAAGAUCGUGAAGAAUAUGGAGUGGAGCAAAUCGCAUUUGAGGGUGAUGGUUGUUCUGACAUGCUUGAUUGCCACAAAGUGAGGCAAUACUCAAUUAUGAGUUAUGAUAGUUUCAAGUUUGAUAGGUCAAUAAAUGUAUGUGUUGAUUGGCAAUGUCUGAUUCAUAAGGGCAAUGAACUUGAGGGAAGCGUCUGCAAACAUUCAUUAGAGAGUUUAAGUCUUUUGAGAUGAGAAAGCUGUACAAUAAAUGGUGAUGUGGUGUUGGUCCAGCCUAAGGACCUUAAAGAAAGGCCUCGGUUAUCAGAGCUCCCGUUCCGGGUCACAAAAACAGCAGGGUAAACCGCCGGGGGUUUUCCAAGGUGUUUAACCACACCACCCUCGGGCCUGAUAGGGCUCCACUUCCCCACCAUUGGGUGGGAGCGCAUCCCUGGAUGAAGGGACCGUUGUCGAAGAGGACAACUAUAAAGACACCGGUUGUUUAACCUAUUGAUCCACCGGGCAAUAGCAUCUUCCACAAGCUUAGACAGGUCUGAGGAGACUUUUGGCAUCCCAAAGACAAAUCUCUUAGGCUUUUCAAGUUCGAAAGAUUGGAAAUGGCAUCAUCAGCUCGGUAUGAAUAUAUAGACGGAGAAAAAUUUCUAGGAGUCUUGGUACUUGGGGUAUUUCAGCACAUGUUAGUUUUUAAAAUCUUCCAAGAUGAAUAUCUCCAGAUAUCAUCGGAAUUUUUUAUUAGCAAAUUUUCACUAAGCUCUGCAUCUAUUUUUCUAGCUUUUCCUGCUUCCAUUUUGCACUAGUUAUCAUGCUUAUGACAAAGAACCUCAUCUUCAAUACUUUCAAAUACUUCUUUUUAGCCUGCUCAUAUAUCGAGUUGGUCAUUCACAAGUUUAAAACCUAUGUAUGGGCUUCGCUCUAAGUAGCUACAAAAUUGGCAAGACCAAUUCAAGCAUUCCCCCAUGAAAAAAACAAUGAUAGGCUUGAAUCUGGUAUAAGCAAACUACUGCCCAUCCCCUUUCCCCAGAAGCAGCCUGUUUCGAGUGACACAAUUAUAAUCACACAGCAAGAUCGUUCGACCCAUGACAAACAUAAUGACCCAGACUUCAGAUAUAUGUAAGUUACUUGCAGUCACUUUGCAAUGCUUGCUGUUAUAGUUGACAUGACAUGGUGGACUACUUACCGCACAUGAAACCUGGAAACGGUGUGCUUUGAGAGAUGGGAAACUUCUGCCGCCGACAGGGAGGGAGACGGACCUGACAUUCGAUAUAUUGCAGACAGGUACCGGUUAAAAAUUGUCAAGAACUAGUUUUCAGAGAUGCGGUCUCAUUCAAAGUGCAGAACCUCAACCGGGUCAGCCAAGCUCUCUGCCUAAAUUGCACAGAAUAUUUGGUAAAUUUACAUUUUGCACCCAAGUUUUCCGGAUAGUGGCAAAUUAUCCCCGUCGUUUCGAUAUUUGCAACUUGUUAACUGACUUUUCGAAAUUCGGAGGCCAUGUGCCCUCAAACGUUGACUUGGGCAAUUUUUUUUUUUUCACAUAUCUGACAUCGUGACUUGCUAUGGAAGAUUAAUUGGACAUUUAUCAUUUAUGUAUGUGAAAUAAAGAAAAAUAUAGGGAGUACCCAAAGAUAUAUUUGAAAACUAUAUACCGAUAUGCAUUUGGUGUUGAUUCCGGUCAAAUUAUUGCCGAAGCCGGUCACAUGCUCUCACAUGUAAUAUGUUUUUGAAUUUAAUAUUCUACAUUUUCAUAUCUAUUUACUUAUAUGAUGAAUUUUCCUUUCGUAAUCAGUCCCAUGCUAUCGCGUGGUCGCAGCUCCAAGCAAAAUUUCACUAGAGUCAACACAAGGGGACACAUUGAUACGGACUUCUACCUUUCGGGGGCUAGAUUGCAAAAAUUGAAACGCCAUUUGACAAUAUGCAACAAACUCAAAAGUUAGAAAAUACGUAGUUUGCUCCCAGAGAAUUUACUGAGUUUCUGGACCGCUGGAUCAGUAGCAGGAAGCCAAAACCGAGUAUUGCCGGCCUGAACUCAUUAUUAAUAUCAUGCAGUUCGUUCUAAGCAUCUGAAAAGCUCAUUUGGCACUGCUGUAUCUUUUCGAUGCCGUUUUGAAUGCAUGAAAAACUCAGCAUUUACCACAACUCAAUGGACAUAAAGGCCUCCAGCACCAGAGCAAAAGCAGAUUCAUCCUAGUCCGGGAAUAGUUAACGUCAAGCUGAUAAUGUGCCUUGAAAAUCUAAAACUGGAGGAAAACAAAAAGUAUAGCACUCGCAUCCAAUAUCUAUCAUAAAACUACGUCCAGCUGCCACAGCGAUCGAGCUUCAAAACCCGUCGUAAAGAAAACAUGAGUCGAGCAACCUUGAACCGACUGAUACCCAUUUUCGUUCCUGUGCUGGCUUCAAAGCGAAUGAGGCGCGAGCUGGUUUUGCAGUGAAGGUGGCCAUUCCGAGCUCCGAUUCAACAGAAGGUGAAGGAAAUGAAUGAGAGAGAGAGAGAGAGAGAGAGAGAGAGAGAGAGAGAGAGAAGAGAGAGAGGGAGAUCACAGAAGGAGAACGCGAGAAGUUUGUGAGAGAGAGGCGAUGUAUAUAUAGGGGAGAGGGAGGGAGCGGGACCUUGUAGGACGGUGUUCGUUUCAAGUUAUCUGAAAAGCAAACAUUUUAAAUGAGCACUUUGCCAACGUUACAAAAAAGAAAUUCAAAGGGAGCAAAAGAACAUGAGAGAAAUUGGCAAUUUGCCACUUUAAGGACGGUUAAGAAAUUUAGGCAAGUGCACUUUUAAUUGAAAGGCCUAGUUAACUUCUUCCUCAAAUUUCACCAUUUUAUCCUGAUUUUUUCUUUUGCCAAUUUUACAUUUUUCUCUCUCUUUAAAGCUAAAUUGUAUUACAGUAUUAACAUAACCUGUAGAUGAGCGCCAAAAUGAGAAAUUUAAAAAGUGAGAUAAAAUGGCAUUUUGGCUUUUACAUAUAUAGAUAUAAAAGCCGGUUUCUUUCUUCUUCUUCUUCUUCUUUUUUUUUUUUCAGUGAUCUAUAAUAAUCAAAACUAGAUGUAUUUCAUACUGAUGUGGCUACACUGUGAUGUAUUGAAAUACAUGUGUACGUGUUUGGCAAUGCAUCUUUGAAAGUUGCUGUGCUAUAGACAGCUACGAUGACUACAGCUACGAUGACUAAUAUGUUUGAUCGCUGUAGUUAUUAGAAUGAAGAAAAGACCUUUUAAUAUUGUUGCAGAAAUAUUACCAACGUUUAUAUCUGUGUUACUGGAACUUUUGCAGUAUACCAUUUUCACCAUAUGAUGAUGAUGAUAGUUGAAUCCGGAAUACACAUUUUGAGAGGACUUUAUUUCCAACUGAAAUACCAAAGUAAUCCAUGUUUAUACAUGAAAUUGCAGAAGAAAAUAUGAGGCAGUACAACGCUGAACCCUUGAAAUGCACAAUCUACUACAGCCCAAUGAGGCUGCAACCAUAUGUAUCCAAUUGCAAAGGGCCACAGGACCGACCGUACAAUCACACAGGAAAGGAUAUCCCGCUUAGAAUUGCUCUCGCCCCGUCUUCCUCAACAUCAUAUCCUGUUGAACACAGUAGCAAUCUGUCCCUGUGAGCUUAACUAUUCAGAUUUUGAAAGGAUGUAUUCUGCACCAUGUCUUGGAGAUACAGCAAGAUUGGCAAGAUGCCAGGUGAUGAGGAUAAAGAUAAAAAGUUCAUACUACUCGCCAUGCAGGUGAUGGGGGUAAAGAUAAGCGCAUCUCUCUCUCUCUCUCAAUUGUGCAAACUUCUCUCCUCUGUUAAUUUACUACUGAUGCUAAGUUCUGCCUGCAAAGUUCUGGCAAGUUUUUUGCCAUUAUCUUCUUUGAAAGAUCAAAAAGAAAAGUGGGGUUCAGAGGUGGAAAAAAGAACAGCUUGAAGAGAAACGGAAAAGCGCAGACUUGCAACAGAAGGCACGGAAAGCUGAUUGCUUUAAGAUGCAUGACAACCAUGCAGAUGGCCAAUGUGGUCUUCUACACCCAAAAAACAAUUGUUUCUCGUGGCCCGAAAUCGUAUUUUAUAUGAUUUGCAUCCGAAUAGAAGAAUAAUAUCGUAAUCUAAUAUCAUCUACCGCCUGCAAAGUUGCUAUUAUCUUCGUUGAAAAUUCAAAAGAAGGGGAGAGGCAGAAAGAAAAACAACAUAUGAAGAGAAACGGAAAGUGCAAACUCUCCAUAGAAGGCACAGGAAAGCAGUUCGCUUUAAGAUGCUUGAUAAACUACUAAGAAACGAUUUCUUGUGGUCUCUAAUGAAACGUUAUAAGAUUCUACAUCAAUGAUAAUCGUACUUUGCGCUCCACUACUGCCUGCAAAGUUGCUAUUAUCUUCUUUGAAAACUCAAAAGAAGGGGCAAUGUAGAAAGAAAAACCGCAUCGAAGAGAAACGAACAUCACCAACUCUCAACAGAGGGCACAACAAAGCUGCUUGCUUUAAGAUGCAUGAUGAACUACUAAUGAACAAUCAUUUCACGUGGUCUCUGAUGAUAUUUUAUAAGAUUUACAUCCGAAUACCGGAUCGAUAUCGUACUUUAUGCUCCACUACUGCCUGAAAAGUUGCUGUUAUCCUCUUUGAAAACUUCAAAGAAGGGGGGAGAGGCAGAAAGAAAAACAACAUUGAAGAGAAACGAACAUCACCAACCCUCAACAGAAGGCACAAGAAAGCUGCUUGCUUUGAGAUGCAUGAUAAACUACUAAUAAACAAUCAUUUCACGUGGUCUCUGGUGAAAUUUAUAAGAUUUAGAUCCAAAUACAGCAUCAAUAUUGUACUUUAUGCUCCACUAUUCCCUUGAAAGUUGCUAUCAUCUUCUUUGAACGCUCAAAAGAAGGGGACAGGAAGAAAGGAAAACAACAUCGAAGGGAAACGAACAUCGCAAACUCUCAACAGAAGGCACGAGAAAGCUGUUUGCUUUAAGAUGCGUGACGACCAUGCAUAGAGUCAUUGUUGAAUUCCUACUUAAAACCAAUUAUUUCUCUUACCUUCUGAUGAGAAUUUAUAACCAUUACAGCCAAAUGGAGGAAUAAUAUUUUACUUUAUUCUUCAGUACUAUAAUAUAUGUACAUAUCUGUUCAACGCAACCAAAAAGAUCAUGUUUCUCACACAUAAAUAGGACAAGUUUUUUGAGUGUCUGAAAUUUUUACAUUCAAAAUGUUAAUGUUUUGCAUGGAAACAUUGUGACUUGAUGCUGGAGAAUUGAAAUUCAAUUGUAAACCUAUCGUAUGAAUUCAAAUUCAAUCCCAAAUAUUUUAAUUCAAACAAUGUUGUUUUAAACCUUUGAGUGAAAAUGUAAUCAGGUCCUCCUGGUCAAGUCUUGCCUAAAUGGCAGUCCAAUCAUUUGUCGUUGUACGUGUCCCGACUAAUGAUUUGACGUGGACAAAUUUACUUAAAACGACGCCAUUGUUGCUCAACUCCACAAGCCGUCAACCUUGCCUAGAACCGCCCUCUCUCAAGUUGAUUUCUAUCAACAGUCACAGCUUAGCUAGAGCUGGCACCUCCAAAUGUGGAGGCUCGGCAGUCGGUCACCAUGCCCAUCGGGCUCCUUGGCCCCUCCAUGGAAGAUGAUUGUACAACCCUCAAAUUUUUAGUGAAGUUUGGCCCCUUCCAUGCCAUGCAAGAUGAUUGUAUAACCCUUAUUUUUUUUUUUUUAUUUUGUGAUGUAGAACUUUUUGUUUAAUUUUUAAAUUAUUUUUUUCUUUCCUUUUUUCCUUCCUUCUUCUUCCUCCUCUAGUUGGUCACGGGACCUUGAUGACUAGCUAGAGAACAGUUGACAAGGCCAACCUCGCCCAACCAUCGCAAGGCUCCCUCAAGACUGGCGAGGCCACCCUUGUCGGCCCUCCUCUCUAGCCAAUCACCGGCUAUUAUCGAGGCCUAACGAGAAGAGGGAGAAUAAGAAAGGAAAAGAAAAAAAGAAAAAGAAAAUGACCUUCAUUAAAAACUGUUCCUGAGGACAAAUAAGUAAAUUCUUUCUAGUUCAUGUUUUCGUUCUAAAUCUAUUUUUUGGCUACUGAUCUAUUUCAGGAAAUAAAAAAAAAAAAUUUAAUUAACGUUAUCAAAUAAUUUUUAAAAAUUAACUAACGUUAUCAAAUAAUUUUUUUUUUCUGUUUCGGAGAAUGAAAUAACAGAAAAAUAGAGAAAUAAACUGAAUUUGCAAUUCUUCCAACUCAACCUAUGCCUAUUAUAAGUUUUCUUUUCUUUUAAUAAUUCUUCCUCUCUUCUGUCUCCUCUCUUCAUCGGUAUAAAAUGGGUAAUCAGGGAUGGGUGGCUUGUGUAGUGGAAUAUAAACCGUAUUCCCAAUGGUCGACACCACGAAUUUGGGUCCAAAGUCAAAUUCACCGGGGGAAGUAAACUGACCUCUUUCACCAUUAAAUCACCACGCUGAGUGUUGAUUUUAACUCCAUAAAAUCCUCUGACACGUCUGCCCCUCGGGACCUUCCGGAUUAUAAAAGCAAGAGCAAAAGUCAUAUCCUAUGAUUUCCAAUCUUUACCGACACAGAGAAACGGAUUCGCACAUAGUUAAUACGAGAAAACAGCUAUCCUAUACAUUGGCAUUUAGUUGAUAAAAAAGGUUGAUCAAUUUAUGGAUGACAUGCAGCGACUUGAAUUCCAUCCACACAUUAGAUAACGUGCAGCCAAGGCUAUGUUAAAGCCGCAAUACAUGUAUUAGACACUAUGCCAUCUCAAUCCACCAAGAGAAAAGGUAUGCAUUUUCGACUCCAGCAGAUGAGAUAUCCUUUGUGAUGGUGGUCUGGGAAGAUGAAUCUUGCUUCUGGUCUCCAUAAUUUGGCAGCAAUGAUGGUGAUUCCACUGGACUGUUAGGACUACUUUUAUCUUCCUCUCCUCUAUGUAUUUACCACUUUCUUUAUCAAAUUUAAAAUUUAAAAGAAAACUUCUCAGGUUACCUGACCCAAAAGAUUAUGGAACACAAAGCAGCAAAAUCUACCAUGUCAGCGUAAUGUCCUCUUCACCUGUAUCAAAAACUUGUCUCGACACUGCAGGACAGGUGGAGCUACCUGCUGUGCUUACAUGGUAACGGCAUUAAACAGAAGAUAGGAUGAAGGGCCUACUCUAAUUCUUUCAAAGUAUCAGGACAUAGCUUCUGAGGCCUAUCAUGCUUUUCCUUUGUCUCAAUGUAUAUUAGGCUCCUAUACUAGGCAUUCAAAAUCUUAUUCGAAGAUGAUCCUUACUGCAAUGUGACUGACAUUACCUUAAGCAGUUCAUAUCCCAGUAAUGAUACAGUCUUACAGACAUGUCAUGGCAAAGAAAUUGCAAAAUAAUCAUUCAGCUGAUUCAAGUACUGUAGGCAUGUCCCUCCUCACAAGUAUGUCAGUGGCUUUAGUAAGUAUGUGAACAUGAUGUUUCACUGACUUGAGCAGAACAAUUUCGAAUCAGAUUGUCCAUUUGGCUUGAUGAUGCCUACAUUUGGCUGCACACAGAAUUUCUUCAGAGACGUAGCCUUAGCCUAGAAUGUUUUGGAUAUCCAGUAUAGAGCUCAUAAUGUUUCUCCACAAUAGAGAGUUCUUAAUGCGCUGAUGUAUUACUCUGAAAAUUAAAUUACAUCAAGAGAAUACAAGAUUGAAAGGAAAUUGUCCACCCGCCAUAGCCUAAAAAAUAAAACUUGAUCACGGUGAAAGAAAAGGUCCAAAGAAUAUUCACCUUGAAAGCAACAUACCGAUCAGUCUUAUUGCCUAGCGGAAUGAGCAUGAGCUUUGUUUGCUCAACUCAAUUGCAUAAACACGGAGAAGAGGCUUCAGAUGAAAGAAUUUAAAGAGAAAGGGGGCCCGACAUGAGGACAGGAUGUGAUGAAAUGGACCAUCUUACAUUUUCUUUGAUAUAAUGCAGUAAUGCAAUCUCAUCUUGUUCAUUCAUUUUCUCUACUAAUCAUUCUCUCGGUCAUUUGGUUACAACAACCAUUCACCUACUUAAUCUCCAGAAAGAAAUUUACCGCAGAAGUCAUUCUAAGAGUUUGUGGUGUGAGGAUAGAGACUACGCAAAAAUUAACAAACCUGACCAAAUAUUUGAAAACAACACAAGUAAACAAAUUUGAAAACGGGGCGACCAGUGACUGAUUCAUACAUGCCAUUGAAGCUUAUGCCUUAAGAUAUUUCCUUUACCAUUUUAUAUGAUGUUGAACCGCAAAUUCUCAAGCAAAUUAUUGUAGAACGGAGAACUAUCAUCCCCUUCACUUAUUGCCUAAUAAAACAGGUGGCAAGCAAUGCAAAUUUUAACGUGGCACCAAAAAUGAAAAUGAACCAAAUGUGCAGCACUAUAUAUACUCACAAAUUAAACUCAAGUUCAUGAGGCCGGAUCUCCAACAGCUCUUCGGCCAUGAUGACAACUAUAGCACCAAUCCACAUAAAACGACAGGUCACAUGGCAGGGUAACGACAAUCAAGCAAAAAGCUCUGCAUGAAGCUCAAUUUCAAGCACCCAUUUCGUAUAAAUCUGAUCACGCGCUGUCUCUAGCAGAUUCCUCAUUUCAAACACCAAAAUUGCACAUGAUCACCAAACACUUGACGGUCAAAAAUGGCUCAGCACCCAAAUUACGAACACAAUCCAAGAGCAGUUCAGGAUUUACCAAAAAUCAGAGCACUACAUUUGGCAAUGAAAGCUUAACCAUCGGGGGAGUAUCUUACAGGUCAGAAACUUCCUUUGGCAGUGAAAUCUUAAUCUUCAAGGGAGUAUCUUACAGGUCAGAAUCUUCCUUUUGAUGGAUCCCAAUAAUGAGAAAAUCAAACUCCAGUGCAAGUUCACAACGAAGGACAUGACAAUAAUAUCAGCUAAGGGAUAUGCCAUAACUCGCACAACCCGAGAGAAAUCGCAGGAAAGACCCCAAGUCAGCAGGCCUAAAGUAUCUCUAACCACCUCUCCAAGACACAACACUAACAUAGCAGCAGCAGUACCAAACUCUAGUAGUCCCUGAUGACAGUUGGGUUGACUCUGACUUGGCAAUAACAACUUCGUGCCAUUUCACUCAGUAAAUGAACACAUAAUCUUCAAUACAUGUGGCACUACAAAUUCGUAAGGACCAAUGUAGUGGGAGUAGCAUUGACCCAAGAAUCUGAGAGAGCAAACAUGUUUUCCAUUAUUUGAUUAUUCAUACAAUAAAUUUAUGACUGAAUUUGCGAUUCUCCCAACUCACCUAUGCUUAUUAUGAGUUUUUUCCCUCCUUCCUUUUAAAUAUUUCUUCUCCUCUACUGUCUCCUCAACUCAUCUGUAUAAAAUGGGCAAUCAAGGGUUGCUUGUGUAAUGGAAGGGAAACGGUCCUCCCAAUGAUCUUACUGGUGCAAGUAGAUCAAAUACAAAUCAACCAGGGGAAGAAAAAUAACCUCUUUCAACUUUGUAUCACCCCACUGAGUGUUGAUUUUAACUCCUUAAAACCUCUGACACAUCCAACCCUUCAGGAUGCUGGCAUCAAAAGACAAUCCUUCUGGAUUAUAAGAGUGAGAACAGAAGUCAUAUUCUAUCAUGAGUAAUAGAAAUGGAUACAUGUACAGUUAAUAUGAGAAAAAAGCUAUCCUAUACACUCGCAUUUAGUUGCUAAAGAGGUUGAUCAAUUAUAGAUGAUGUGUAGCAACUUGAUUUCCAUUUACAUAAAUAACAUGCGGCCCAGCCAAUGCUGUGGCAAAGCCCCGAUCCAUGUAUUAGAUACAAAGCCAUCUCAACCCAGAAAGACAAUAAAGUGACAUAUUGAUGUUUUCUGGCAGUCAUACCCUGAGAAAAGGUGAUGCAUUUUCGACUCCAGCAGGUGAGAUAUCCUUUGGGAUGGUAGUCUCGGAAGAUGAAUCUUGUUUCCGGUCUCCGUAAUCUGGCAGCCCUGAUGGUGAUUCCACUGGACUGGUUAGGACUGCUUUUAUCUUCCUCUCAUCUAUGUAUUUAUCGCUUUCUUUAUGAAAUUGAAAAUUCAAGAGAAAAUUUCUUGAGUCGCUUGACCUGAAAGAUUAUGAAACAUAUAGCAGCAGAACCUACCAUGUCAGCAAUAGUGUCCUCUUCACCUGUAUCAAAAACUUGUCUCUGCACAGCAGGACAGGUGGAGCUACCUGCCGUGCUUACAUGGUAACUGCAUCAAACAGAAGAUGGGAUGAAAGGCCUACUCCAAUUCUUGCUGCCUAGCGGAAUCAGGCAUGAGCUUUGUUUACUUAACUCAACUGCAUAAACACAGAGAAGAGGCCUAAGAUAAAAGAACUUAAUGGGGCAUGACAUGAGAGCAGGAUGUGAUGAAAUGGACCAUCAUACAUUUUCUUUGAAGAUAUAAUGCAGCAAUGAAGUCUCAUUUUGUGCGUUAGUUUUCUCUACUGAACAUUCUCAGUCAUUUGGUUACAGCACUCACCUACUUUUAUCUCUAGAAAGAAAUUCACUCACAUGGCACUAUAAGAGUUUGUGGUGUGAAGAUAGAAACUAUGCAAAAAGAAAGAACCUGACCAAAUAUUCGAAAACAGCACAAGGAAAAGAACUUGAAAAACAGGGCGACCAAUGACCGAUUCAUACUCGCCAUUGAAGCUCAUGCUUUUAGAUAUUUUUUUUACCAUUAUUUAUGAUGUUGAACCACAAAUUCUCAAGCAAAUUAUUGUAGAAUAGAGGAACAUCAUCCGCUUCACUUAUUGCCUGUAAAACAGGAGGUAAGCAAUGCAAAUUGAAUGUAGCUCCAAAAUAAAAAUGAACCAAACGCACAGCACUAUAUAUACUCAUAGAUAAACUUGACUUCAUGAGGCUGGAUCUCCAAGAGCACUUCAGCCAUGAUGAUGACUAUAUUGCUGAUCUACAUGAAAUGGUGGAUCACAUAGCAGGGCAACAACAAUCAAGCAAAAAGGUCUUUAUAAAGCUCAAUUUCAAGUACCCAUUCAUAUAGGGUGCGUUUGGUUUGGCUUUUGGAGAAAGCCUUUGGAUAAUGCAAAGGCUCUUAGCCUAAAGGAGUUUUGUGAAAUGCAAAGACUGUUUGGUAAUUUGCAAUUUUAAAGUGACUUGGGAAGUAACAUUGGGAAAAUACUAUUUGAUAAGCAUAUAUUUAAAAAGUCUUUUGAUGAAAAUCAAUUUUUUAAAAAAUUAUUUAAAAAAAAAAAAACACAACGAUGGCAACUUUUAUAUUUUCACAUUACAAGUGAUGUAAAAGAGACAUUAACAAGUUCAAAAAUAAAAAAAUUACAUGAGAAGUGUAAAAAAUAAUAGGGCCCUCAGAUAUACAAACAGUAAAGAAAGUAUAAUGACCAAUGGGCUAAGUUACUGAGAAUAUAAAAAUAAAAUUUAGUUGUUUUUGAUGUCAUAUGGAAAGUCUUAUCUAAAACUGGCAUAUGAUAAGAAAUAUGUCUCUUAUUCAGCACUAAGACAAUUAGACAUAUCUUAGCUGCAACAUGACAGCACCAAGUCAUAUCUUGCUCUUUCUAAAUGGACAACUGAGCACCUCUUUGCCUUAAAUGACUCCAUCAAUUUCCCCAUGUCUUAGAGGUCAAAAAUACUAUGAGAAUGGACUGAACCGCCUAACACUUCCUCGAGAUUGAUUGCGGAGCGAGCACCACAUGAACACAUUCGUGAUGGCAACCAAAAUGAGCUUUUGCUCAUGUUCAAAGCCUAAGCAUGCAAGAAAAUUAAAGAGCUCCGACUCUUGAAGAGCAAUGGACUUCUUCUGUGAACCUCUGAUUGCUGACAAAUCGAGGAUUAGCCUUAAAAAACUGUUCCUCUCAUAAAUAUAAGUACAAUCACAACAUCUCAAUUCACAAGGCAGUGCAUGUAUUAAUAUACACAUCAUGGGUAUUCCAAAGAACUUACAAGAGAAGAUAACUCCUAGUAACUGCUGGGUACAAUGGAAAUGAACAUUCAAAGCCCAGGAUUAUUCCUGGGAAAAAUGGAAAAGUGGGGAACAACAGACUUUUACAUCACAUGAAGUAAGAACGACAUAAUGAGUGAAUUUAACCGUCCCAUAGAAUUCUAUUAGCAAUGGCAGUGUCCAUUGAUUCCAGUUCUUCCACGACUUUAGUCCUGGAAGGCCGCUCGUUAGGAGUCAUUCGGAGGCACUGUAAAGCAAGUUGUGCUAUUUGGAAUGCAGAAUCCAUAAAUGUAGGGUAUAGGGAUGGUAUAAAUUUGGUUCCCAUUUCUGGCAGGUUGCAACAUCAUGAGCGACCAGUUUCCUCUAAAAUAACCAGUAUUUCUUUUUCGGUUUCUGAGGAAGGGGAACAUCUGCAGAAAAUGAAAAGUUAUGUAGGCAAUGCAACUGUGGAUUCCAUGCCAAAUGAUUUAAGUAGCUAAAAGGGAAACACACCUCGUGUUUCAUAGAGGGGAUUAUAAUGAACCUCAUAUCCAGAAACUCAACCAAAGCUCUGCAUCUAUUGAAAGUAAGGUUAACAAAAGGAAAAACUUAAAAAGAAAACGGAGUUUCAAAAGACCAGUUGCUCAUUGAACAAAAGCAAAUGUAGAUCAAUUGCAAAUGUUUACAUCUAGGUUCUAAAUCAAUCAAUAUAUUUAAGUAGCUGUUCUAAGCAAGCAAAAGAACAAAUAUUUAAUUUCCGAGACGAAAAACAAGCAAAGCAUCACAAAGGAGGGUCUAUGCGUAUUUGUAUGCAAGCAACGCUCUUUUUUCCAAGACAACCAAGGAGUAAAAUAUACCCAUUUGGAAUUUUAACAAACCAAACCCAAGAACUUCACAUUUAUCACAUUGCACCUACUGACGAUUUGAACCACCAAAACAACUAUGAAGAAGAAGACAAGCAAGCAAUACCCUCGGCAGAGGGAACUUAUAAAUCCAAUUGCCAAACAAUAAUUAGGCUGCGAAUAUAAGUAUCAUCUAGGGGCUUUUGCCCUCCUUCAUGCUCUCCAACAACGACCAAAUAAGCAUUGAACAUCAGUGACUCACCGGAAUAGAUAACUUCAUCAUUCUUCAAAAUCCUGCAUUCCAACAGCUGCUUGCUGCCAUCAUACAGCAUUACCUAUCAUAUAUCCAACCAUCAAUCACAGCAUGGACUAAUCUACUUGAAGGCUUUAUUUGAUUUGGGCUUAAGGCCCAUCCGCCAAAGUUGGGCCUAGAAAGCCCGGCCCACGGGAAUAAGGCCCGUGGAAAGAGGGAGGUAUAAAAGGGAGGAGAGAGAGAGAAAAACAACAGUUGGUAAAUUGUACGUACGCUGUUUUUCUCUCAACGCUCUCUCCCUCUCUCCCGUUUUCUCCAAAAGCAAAACAGUGAAGCAAUUGAAGGAGUUUGCCUCCUCGGAUCGAACAAGGCUCGAUUUCUCUUCCUCUAACGGCGUCGGUGUCUAAUCUAUGGCAAUCAAGGUACGCUCGAAUCCGUGGUGUGCUUUACGAUCGGUGAUACGUGUCGUUUUCUUGGGCUUCGCUUCCGCAUUGAUUUAGGGGUUCGAUUUAGUGUCGAAUCCGGUUUUCGGGGAUCAGUAAUUCCCAACAUUGGUAUCAGAGCCCUGUUUCACGUUUUUCCCGAUCAAUUCUGAUGUUUUUGAUUGAGUUUUCGCGAAGAAACUUUCGGCCGUACGGAACUGGGCGAAAAUCCCGACACCCGAGACUUCUUCGGCCAUUUUCAUGAGUUUUCGAAUGUCAAAAACAAAUUCUGAAAGCACUGGGAUAAAGGCGACGUCGAGACGAGUCUGGAGAUGUCUCGAGCGCGGCCGGGAGACACCGCACGCGCCCACACGCGCCGCCGGAAGGCGCUGCGCGUGGGCGCGACGCGCCCGGAAGCGCUCGAUCACCAGGCACGUGCGGUACACGCGCCGGUCGGCGAAUCGGCGCGUGCGCGCCGCCGGCCGGCGAACCGGCACGCGCCGAUCCAUGGACCGACGGGUGCUGACGUCAGCAUGACGUCACCCAACGGUCAGUAACCGCUGGGCUGACGUCAUCGAUGACGUCAGCGAUGACGUCGGUUGGCCGGACGGCGACCCGACCCGCGCGAGACCCGACACGCGCGCGGCACGUGCCGGAUGACGUCUGCGUGACGUCAUCCUGCGCACGCGCACGACACGUGCCGUUGGUUCGCGCGAACCGGACCCACCGGCCCGACCGGUGCGACCGGUCCGACGACCGUUGACCGUUGACCUCCGUUGACCGCCGACGACCGUUGACUGGUGACGACCGUUGACCGUUGACCUUGGUUGACCGACGACCGUUGACUUUGACCGUUGACCCGAAAAAAAAAAAAAAGAAAAAGAAAAGAAUGUGUUUCUUUUUCAAUUAAGUCUAUAUGGAUUAUAAUGUGAUCCCUUAUUUGUUAUGCAUUUGUUGCAGGAACAAUGCCUCCCCUGAGGUUGCGCACACCUAUUCGCGCAGUUACCGAUGAAUAAAAGGAAAGGCUGUCUAAGUUGAUAGCUGAGCUGACUGAUCAUCGAUGGGAGAGUGGUGACUUAAUUGAUCACAUCCUUGAAGUCAACGGGAAAAUUCAACAGGUCAUAUGGAAUGGUCGUCCUAUGUCACAGUCAGAGAUGGUGCGAUUUUUCAUAAACACUCUUCCACCUGAAUGGCAAGAUGUGUUGAAUCGCAUAUGAGAUGUCAACGGAGCUGCUUCCUAUAAGAAAAUUGUGAUGGAUUUUGUAAAUGAAUAUUAUUGUAUUGUUUCGAGGGAAAAGAUCAAGAAAUUGAACAAAAGAGGAUCUUUCCCAGUUCGUGUGCUGACUUGGUGUUAGUUGUAUUGGCUGAUAUAUGUUAAGUGUGAUUUGUGGACAUAUUAUGUAAUGAUUACUACCUAAUUGUGUUAAUUGAAAGCAUUAUUGUUUUUAUUAGAUGUUAUAUUAUAUAUUGCUUUCUGUUAUUGCUGGUUGCUGUGGGUAAUUAGUUAUGGGUAGUUUUAGAAGUUUUUGUAGCUUCAUAGAAUUGACUUUGCAUAAGACAAUUAUAUUGAUGAUAGUUUUAAGUUAGGAUUUUGGAGGAUAAUUGGAAACAUAGUGACCUUUUGAUUCUGAAACCUUACUUGAAAUUAUUUAUUAAUAUGAUGGGUCUAUGUAAAUAGGGAUGCAUAAAUGAUAGGCAUUAAUAAUUUGUGCAUGUAUGUCUGAUGUGUUCAGAUCGAUAUUUUCAGCAACUAAGAACGUUAUUGCUGAUAUGAACGGCAACAAUUGUGAAAUAUUGAAUAUGAAGAUUCAAUAUGUGCUGGAAAAGCAAAGAAGCAUUAGAAGCUCUUGACCAUAUUAUGGAAGAUCUAGAGGAUACUGUGCGCCACCUUGAGCUAGUAGAGGACUGGCUAUCGGCAUUUGAGCCGAAAAUAGACAUAGGCUAUGCUGAUUCUAGCUCAGAAAGGGCUUUGAGCUCUAAGCGCAAACGUAUUGAUUCGUUCAAUAUGUGGGAAAGCAAAGGAUCAAGUCCUUAUUGCAAGAGAUCAAGAGUUAACCAACACAAGAGAGGAAAACGUCAUCAAGUGAAGAAAAUGUCAAGGGUGAGGUGUUACAAUUGUAACAAGAAUGUCACUAUGCUCGCAAUUGUUGUGAGCCGAAAAAGGUAAACACCUCUUGUACAUUUGAGAACUUUGAUUAUGUGUCAAGUUCUGCAUUAUUAGCUGAAUCCAAUCCUUUGUGGACUGUAGAUUCAUGAGCAACAGACGAUGUAGCAAAGGAUAAAGGAUCCUUCGUAGAAUUCCGACGAUACCAACUAGAACUAAGUGGAUCUAUGUGGGAAACAGCUCCAGAGCUGAAAUUAAAGGGAUUGACACCUGCCAAUUGAACAUGCGUGGUGGACGAAACUUGUUCCUACAUGAUGUUCUAUAUGCUCCGGAGAUUCGUCGAAAUUUAAGUGUCUGUUUUGAUGCAUUGGUUAAGCUUGGUUUUUAGUAUGAACUUCCAUAAUAGAUGUGUAGAUUUGUAUUUGAAUACAAACUACUAUGAUUUUUGGUCACUUUCUGGAUGGUUUUAUUGUACUAAAUGUUGACUGUGGUGAUGUCAAUAUGUUAUUCCCUUGUUUCACGUCUUCUACUUUAUAUGAUAAUGAUGUGAAUAUGGUGGCAUGCUAGACUUGGUCAUAUGGGCCAACAACAUAUGAAAAGACUAGCCAAAGAGGGCUUGUUGGGCAAUAUUGAAAAAGUCGAUUUGCUCAUAUGUAAGCAUUGCCUAGAAGGGAAAACAACAAUGAAACCAUUUGAAAAAGGUAAAAGAGCUGAAUUUCCUCUGCAUUUAAUCCAUUCUGACGUCUGUGGUUCAAUGAAUAUGAGAGGAAGGCAAGGGGCUGUUUGUUUCAUCACUUUUAUAGAUGAUUCUACUUGAUUUGGAUAUGUCUAUUUGAUUUCUCAUAAAUCUGAAGCAUAAGUUGUUUCAAAAAGUUUAUGAACCUGGUAGAGAAUCAAUUAGACAAGAAAAUAAAAGUAUUGAGAUCCGAUCGAGGUCAAGAAUAUUUAUCUGAUGAGUUCGGAAAAUUAUGUGAUGAAAAAGGAAUAGAAAGACAGUUGUCUAUUCCAUAUACUCCUCAACAAAAUGGUGUUGCGGAGAGAAGAAACAGAACCCUAAUGGAAAAGGUUAGGUCCAUGAUGGCGCAUGCUAACUUACUCAUCACUUUUUUUGGAGUGAUGCGUUGCUAACUGUUGCCUUCAUACUUAACCGGGUGUCUUCCAAAUUAGUUAUUUCCACUCCAUAUAAGUUAUGGAUAGGUAGAAACCGGACUUAAGUUUACUUAAGCCAUGGGGUUAUGCUACCUAUACUCAUAUGUCCUCUCACAAGUUUGGGAAAUUGAGUCCCAGAUAAAAGUAGAGUAUUUUAAUGAGAUAAUCCGAACACUCGAAAGGAUAUGUGUUCAUAGGUGAGCAGGAAAGUGGGAGAAUAACUGAAUUUUGAAUCACGGGAUGUCACAUUCUUAGUGGAUGAAUUUCCUUAGAGGGGCGAAAUAGGGGAAGAUUACUUCCUAUUUGAAACCUUGGAUCAAGAUAAUGAUAUUAGUGGAGUUCAUCCAAGUGGGAGUAAUAUGAGAUGUGAUGAAUUGAAUUCAAUUUAUUCUCAAUUGCAACCACCUGAUGUGACGACAUCAUCAUUACCUAAUCCAAGUGGGAGCAUAAUUGGGAAUGAUGUGCUAAGUGUACAAUCUCCCAUACGGUGAACAAGUUGCCAAAGUAUUCCCCGUCGAUGUUUUGACAUUGAAAGGGAAACUUUUAUGGUUGCUCCGCAAGAUGAGGAUGAGCCGAGAAAUAUUAAUGAGGCUCUUAAUUGCCCUAGUAAGAAAAAAUGGAUUAAUGCAAUGGAAGAGGAAAUGGAGUCAAUGAAGUCAAACCAAGUCUGGGAACUGGUUGAUCUUCCAAAAGGAUGCAAAGUCAUUGGGAACAAGUGGGUUCUCAAAAUAAAGCGAAAGGCUGAUGGCUCGAUAGAAAGGCAUAAGGCUCACCUUGUGGCGAAGGGGUAUAAUCAACAGGAAGAUAUUGAUUAUGAAGAUACAUUUUCUCCUGUAUUGAGAUUUACCUCGAUUCGCAUAAUUCUGGCAAUAGUGGCUAGUCUGGAUCUUGAGUUACAUCAAAUGGAUGUAAAGACUGCUUUCCUCAAUGGAGAAUUAGAGGAAUAAAUAAAUAUGGAACAACCUGUCGGUUUCAUAGUGAAAGGCCAAGAAGAAAAUGUAUGUCGACUUUGGGGGUCGAUAUAUGGCCUUAAGCAGUCGUCAAGACAAUGAUAUAUACGUUUUCAUAAUACCAUAAUAGCAUAUGAUCUUACAAUGAUAGAUGAGGAUCAUUGUAUAUAUAUCAAAAGAUCCAAGGAUCAAUUUGUGAUCAUAUCAUUAUAUGUUGAUGAUAUACUAAUUGCCGGAAGCAAUAUGGAGUUGGUUAAUACUGUCAAGAGACAGUUGUCUUCCAACUUUGAGAUGAAUGAUAUGGGAUUGUAAACCCAUAAACACUCCUAUUGCAAAAGGUGAAGGAUUGAGCCAUAGACUGUGUCCAAGGACUCCACAAGAGAAGGAACAAACAAAAUAUGUUCCUUAUGCUAGUGCUGUUGGGAGCUUGAUGUAUGCUAUGAUGUGUACAACACCCGACAUAUGCUUUGCAGUUGGAAUGAUGAAUAGUUACCAAUCCAAUCCAGGUCAAGCACAUUGGAAAGCCGUUAAAAGAAUAUUAAGGUAUCUAAAGGGGACUGCUGAUUAUACGCUGAGUUAUUAUGGAAAGGAUCUGCGACUCUAAGGCUAUUCUGAUAUUGAUUGGGGAGGAGAUUUAAAUAAAAGGAAAUCUACCUCUGGGUUUGUUCUCUUACCGAAUAAUGGCACCAUAUGUUGGAGCAGUAAGAAACAAAAGUGUAUAGCCUUGUCCACGAUGGAAACUGAGUUCGUGGCAUUAUCAGCAGCAGUAUAAGAAGAUGUUUGGCUUAAGAGAUUAUUGGAUCAUUUAGGUGUUAUUGGAAGUGCUGCAGAUUUGUUAUUAGUUAACUAUGAUAAUCAAGCAGCAAAAGUAUACACUAAAGAUCCAAAUAUCAUGGCAAGACCAAACAUAUAGAUACCAAGUAUAAUUUUGUCAAGGAUAUGGUUGCACGAAAAGAUGUGAACUUAGAGUACAUACUACGCAUAGAAUGGAAGCAGAUCCUAUAACAAAGCCAAUACCUAGAGAUGUGCUUUGUGGCCAUGUGAAAUCUCUAGGAUUGCGUAGAGACUGAUGUACUAAAUAUUGUAAUUUCCCUAAGUGUUCACAAUUUGAUGAAUUUGUGUUUUCAUCGUUAAUGCCUAUGAAUCUUUGUAUGAUCUUUAUGCAUCUUAAUGCUCAGUGCAUUAUUUUAAGUUGAGAAGUAUGUCGGACAGAUAUAAGAUUAGCCCACUCACACGGGUAAUCGCCUCUAUUUACUGUGUGAUAAAUAGAGAUGAGACUGUUUUUAAGCUUAUUAUCUAGGUGAUAAUCGAGAGCUCAAGCUUAAAACACGUAUGUCGCCUUAACUGAGUGUUAAGAUGAGGACAUAAUACUUACUAUGUCCGAAAGUAAAAUAACCCACAUAUUUUACUUUAUCUGUCUAAAAUGCCAGAUGUGAGUUCUGAUGAAUUUUGUGAUUGAGUAGAUACGUGAACUCAAGUUAGACAUUAGGUAUGUCUGAACUAUCAUCUGUACGGUAUUGAAAAGUGAAGACAUACGCUCCAUGGGAAAGGAGUUAAUACCGUAAUACGUAUUUCAUACUACGUAUGCAUAAGACGACCAAUAAGAGUGGCAAAAAGUUUGAUCUCAACUUUUAUGACGUGUGAGACUCUUGAGGAAAAGAGUUCCUCAAUUUUUGUCCCCUCAUGACUCUUACUUAUUCUCAAGAUUUCUAUUUAGUGUUUGCUAUCUUAGGAUGUUGCCAAUGGUCAUGUGUUUGAUUCGAUCUAAUGGGACAUUUCUAGAAAAGCAAGCUGAACUGAAAUUGAGAGUUUGAAGGAAAGAGGAAGAUCGAUUUUGGAGAAUCACAUUAUAGUUUUGUAUUCACUGGUCGACCAAUUAUAAUUGUCUUUGUGAUAAUUAUAAUUGUGAAUACAAUAUAUAUCAUUGUUUAAAAGAGAUUAAGAGAGAUAUAAAUGUGAUCGAUCGAUCUAGGGUACUGCAUACUAAAUCUACUCGGAGUGUGACGCCCAUUAUGAGCUGCUAUAUAUUCCUAACAGAUGUAUAGUAACGAGCUCUCAAAGUAUGCUGGUCGCACGGAUUAUUCACCAGUAUGAAUGUUGAAGAGAGGUAAAGAGAAUCCUGUUUGGCCCACCAUGUUAAGAGAGAGUCUAUGAUGGAUUAUUCUCUGAUGGGCCUGAGUAGGGCCUGUCCGUCCAUGUUGGUUUUGGACCACCAUGUGCGAGUGGGAGAUGAAGGCUUUAUUUGAUUUGGGCUUAAGGCCCAUCCGCCAAAGUUGGGCCUAGAAAGCCCGGCCCACGGGAAUAAGGCCCGUGGAAAGAGGGAGGUAUAAAAGGGAGGAGAGAGAGAGAAAAACAACAGUUGGUAAAUUGUACGUACGCUGUUUUUCUCUCAACGCUCUCUCCCUCUCUCCCGUUUUCUCCAAAAGCAAAACAGUGAAGCAAUUGAAGGAGUUUGCCUCCUCGGAUCGAACAAGGCUCGAUUUCUCUUCCUCUAACGGCGUCGGUGUCUAAUCUGUGGCAAUCAAGGUACGCUCGAAUCCGUGGUGUGCUUUACGAUCGGUGAUACGUGUCGUUUUCUUGGGCUUCGCUUCCGCAUUGAUUUAGGGGUUCGAUUUAGUGUCGAAUCCGGUUUUCGGGGAUCAGUAAUUCCCAACACUACUCAAAACAGGCUUAAUCAUGGAGAGUAUUACAAUCAGAAGCACAGAGCAGAACAAUCUGUGAUGAUAGAAAAUAUGAAAUCCCAAGCAGCAUUGAGCUGCUGCCAUUCAGUUCGAUUGAGCAAGCUAAACUUGGGAAAAAAAGAGUAAUAAAUCGAUAGCCACUACAGUUUUGACAUAGAAUAGCCAGUCAAACCGAAUCACGUCCUACCCAAUCAAAGGCAACUAAGUUUCGAUUGGGUUGAGCUGGACAUCAAUGGUAGAGAUUAGUAGUGAAAGCAAAGGUACCUUGCCGGUGGUGGUGCAGAGAGAGAGGAAGCCCUCGCAAUAGACCUUACGCUUCAGCUUCUGCUUCAGGUGCUUCUUGAAGGUGAAAUUCCAGCAAGCACGGUCUCAAGCACAUAGCUCAUUUCAUCAAACACCAAAAUUGCACAUGAUCACCAAACACUAGACAGGCAAAACUUAGAUGGUUCACUCACACAAAGCAUAAUUCAACACACCAAUUACAAACACAAUCCAAGAGCAGUUCGGGAUUGAAAAGGAAAACUAGAGCACAACAAAUAUCAAUUCCUAGAACUUGCAUUGCCAGCUCAAAAUGCAAUCGUUGAGUCCAUCACAGAGGAGUCAUACUGGAUUCCCGAAAGCUCUGACGUAUUCAUCUGUGGGAUUCUGCUGAGUCUGGAUGUUCUGUGUAAGGGCAACAAGGAUGUUGAUGCCAGAUUUCUGUCCCUCAAUAUUCUGUUUGAUGCGAUGUUCAUUUUCCUAAUCAAAACUCCAGAGUUAAAGUAUAAGCUGGCAGACUUGGGUGCAAUUUCUCCCUCUCUGCCCAGCCUUGAUUGAGGAUGAGGACCCCUAUACCAAUGUGUGAGCAGAAGCUCCUUCCGAUGCUCAUAGAGUUCAACUUGACUAAAAUUUCUGAGAUUCUACAACCAAAGACAGUCAGCCACUGCUUCAGAUUUUCACUUGGUGAUCUGUCCUGUGCAAAUGUGAAUGAUGUUGAGCUGCGUGUGGCUCUGGCAUUGGCUCUGGAAAUGGAUCCCAAGUUGCUUUCUCAGCUGAAAGUAGUACAGCUUAUUGGAAACCUUUUGGAGUUUGUGCAUGAGAAAAAUAUGGAAGAUUUUCUCAAAAUGAUGUUUGGCUUGUGCAAAGCUCUUCUUUUAUGAUCACUAGGUUCUACGAAAGGUUCCACAUACAUGGAAGAGCCAACAAUACUUGAUGAAAGUUCUUCUGAGGCAGUGAGUAGCAUAUGACACAUAACUGACUUUGGUGGCAGUGCCAGUGUUUUCCGGGAAAUGAGUGGUUCUCAUGACAGAAACAGUGCCGAUAUUGCUUCUAAAUUAACAGCUCUAUUACUGAAGGCAGCCCCAAGGGAAGGUGCUCUCUUUUUCUUACCAAUCUCCUGUAAGUGAGUGCAAUUCUCGAGUCUCAGCAGAAGGGUGCUCCUUCUCUACCGGUACCAAUGAAUGCUGCAUUCUCUCAGUUACUCCAGUAGGCGAUGUUUGCUGCACGGAAUGAUUUUUGUCAGUGUGCCCAUCAAAGAUUGCUAUGAUUGAAGGCAUCGUUGCUGAGAUAAAAUAUUCUGCUGCUGCUGCUUUAGCCAGCGCUGCCACUGGUAAUCUUGGAAUUGCAGUGGCUCCCUUUAUGACUUCUCCAUAACAUUUACAAAUCCCACCAAGAAGCACACCUUUCCUGAAAAAUAAACUGAACUUAAGCAUAGCAAUACAGAGUGUCUGUCUACUACAAAGUCGCAAAUGAGUUGAUUGUGCUGUAAUGUCCCAGGAUGAGAACCAUGGUCAUAUGACCUUCCAGCACACAUCCGACCUAUUUGUUUACAGCAUAGCGAAGUUAUCUCUAAUGCGAAGCGAGGUUAUCAAUUUCAAAAUAUAUGAAGCAGCAAAUCGACAAGGAUCUCUAAUAAUUUGGUACAUAUCAAAUAAAAACGAUGCAAUCGAAAUGCAUAUCUCUAGGAGAAAUCAUCCUAGGAAAAUGUAGCUAAAAAAGCCAAACCAAACUAGGAAAAGAACACAAAUACGUGUACAUAAUUAAGAGCCCUUUGGCUGUUCGGAGGUAUUAUAAUUUCAAUGCCGUCAUCAGAUUUUCAGACAUGAACCCGCAAAUAGGUCAUUAAAAAGUGCAUGCGAAACUUCUCUGCUCAUAUCUCUGAAAGAAUUUGAUUGCCAGAAAAGGAAAAGAUUGGUACUUACCUCAAUUCGUUUAAGGUUUGAACACGAGGGAACAAUUUGCAGUCGUGCUUCAAAAAGCUUCCAAGUGCAACGUGCACUUAUUCAUCAUCUUCUUCAUCGUAUUCUUCCACAAAUUUUUCUUCUUCAUUGUCUUCUUCCACAAAUUCGUCUUCUUCAUCGUCUCCCACAAAUUCAAUUGACUUCUCCAAGCAAAGCGAGAAAUUUCCUCCACAUCUAAUUUCCUACAUCCUCUUAUUGUGACCUCUCGCAGUCUCUUCAAGCUUGACAGCUCAGGCAACUUUUGUAAAGAUUCACAGCUGUCAAUAUACAAUGUUUCCAAAGAUUGGGGUAGUUCGCCUUGAAUCUCAACCAGAUUAUGACAAUCUCUUACUGAAAGAUAUCUUAUUCCAUCCAUAUUGCUUAGAUCAGGGAGCUGUAUAUUCAAACCUUUGAUUGUGACCCAUCGCAGUCUCUUCAAGCUUGACAGCUGAGGCAACUUCUGUAAAGAUUCACAGCUGUCAAUCCACAAUGUUUCCAAAGAUUGGGGUAGUUCGCCUUGAAUCUCAACCAGAUUAUGAUAAGAUUCUACUGAAAGAGAUCUUAUUCCAUCCAUAUUGCUUAGAUCAGGGAUCUGUAUAUUCAAACCUUUGAUUGUGACCCAUCGCAGUCUCUUCAAGCUUGACAGCUCAGGCAACUUCUGUAAAGAUCCACACCAUUGAAUCCGCAAUGUUUCCAAAGAUUGGGGUAGUUCGCCUUGAAUCUCAACCAAUUUACCGCAGGAUUCAAUGUUCAAGUAUUCCAAAGAUUGAGGUAGUUCGCCUUGAAUCUCAACCAGAUUAUGACAAUAUGCUACUGAAAGAUAUCUUAUUCCAUCCAUAUUGCUUAGAUCAGGGAUCUGCAUCUGUUUAAAGCCAGAAAGCUGCAACCGAUGUCCACUUAAAUAUUCAAACAUCUGAUUGACAAUACGCACAUACACAUAAACAUGUGUCUUACCCAUUAUGCUGAACGGAUCGGGGAACUCCUGUAACGAAUCACAGGAACAAAUUUUAAGACAAUCCAAAAACCGUGGUAGUUCGCCUUGAAUCUCAACCAGAUUACCACAAUUGAUUACUUCAAUAUGCCUCAGCUUGUUUAACUUGCUUAGAUCAGGUAGCAUCACCAGCUGUUCGAGUUCCCAGAGGUGCAAAUCUCGUAGGUUCUUCAAACAACCAAGGCCUUCAAUCUUUGCAACUGCAGAGCAGCAAAUGUCGAGAUCUGAUAGUUUCCACAAAUUCGAUAGAUCCAUCGAGCCAAGUGAGUCGCAACCAGAGAGACGUAAGACGGAUAAACUUGAGGGAAGCCUCGGGAGGAGAGGCGGAUGAGGAGGGAGGCUGAGGUCUGUCGAUGAGGCGGUCCCCCCGAAAAAGCGCAGUACCAGAGAUUCCAAUUUGCUUAAGUUCCCAAUCCAUCGUGGUAUCCGUUUUUCCAGGAGCCCAUAAAAUUUCCCAUCACAGUUAGGUGGGCCAAAGCCCAGAUGCAAUACCUUUAAGUUAGCGAGAUUUGAGAGAUCCGGAAACGUGUCCACCCUCAACUCCUCCACUUCUAAUUCGAUGAGACUUUCAGGAAACCUUGGUAGAGCGUGUGCUCCCGGCCAUCCCAAUAUCUCCUCCCUUAAAUCCGCGUAGAUGGUACGGCCACUUAUUGAGUGGACAUGCGUGACAUGAUUAUAACGGUCGGCGAUUUCCAUUCCCUUGACCUUCCCCAACUUCUUCCAACAGGCAUCAUUGUUUGUUCUGUUAUCGACAUAAUUCUGCAUCUUCAUUACUUUCAAAUUCUUCGACAUUCCAAUGAAAUUGGGUACUACUUCGAUGCUCGUCUGACUUAUGUCCAACUUUGUUAGCGAAUCCAAAUUUCCAACCGUCUCCGGAAGCCUCUGAAGAUUCCAACAAUAGCUUACAUCUAAGAAAAUUAAGCGUUUCAACUGACAAAUUGAUCCAUCAAUUUCGAUUAAUGAUUCACAGCCUGAUAGGAUCAAAUGUUCUAAAUUUGAAUGAGCUGAGAAGUUGGGGGUUCUCUUCAAGCAUUGGCAAUGGGCUAGAUUCAGAACUUUCAAAUUCUUAAUCACCUGUGGAAGAAAAUUCAUGCAAAGUUUACUUUCAAAUUUAAUGAGACGGAAGAACAAGUAUCGUCUGACAUAUAACAUACUUUCAUGUGGUUCCACCCCUUCCAAUCAUUCGUAAUUUUACUCCAAGAUAGAUCAAGAAGAAUCACAUUCUCCAUGGAGAAAUUUGUAAUCUCAAAUGUUUGGCGAAUAUUUCGCCAAGAAAGCCAACGUAAUUGUGGAAGGAGAUUUGAAUUCUUUCGAAAAACAUUAGUUGAAAGGACAUUUGAUGGCCCUUUGUGCUGAAGAAGCAUCUUUUUUGCACGAAAAAUUUCCUCUGGGUCAUCAACUUCAAGGAACCUUAGGUUUGGUAGGCUCUUAAAAUCCUCAUAGGUAAAACAGUGCUGAUGGUCCAAGUGGAGACGGAGAGCUUCAACUUUUUUCUUCAUCUGCCCAAAAUAAAAUUUUUAACAACAAAACAGUUGAUAGGAAACACAUUUAUCCAAGUUCACUAUUUUAAGGGGUUGAGUUGAGUACUAUUGUUCCGUUAAUCUUAAAAGAGCAAAAAUAUUGGUUGAGUAGGUCACAAUGGUGCUAGAAAACACAAAAAAAUAAUUGCCUCUUUUUGAAAAGAAAAUGGCCAUAAAUAACUUGGAGAUUUAUUGCACGGGGGAUUUACCCCAUGGCUCUUCAAAAUAUCCAAUGCUUUCUUAGGAUCCCAUGCCCUAAUUUGUUUAUUUAUAUUCGUUUCUUGACAAGCUAUUUGUCUUCCGAGGUCUCUGAGUAUGUCGUGCAUCCACACUUUGUUAUCCUCUUUAAUCUUUAUCAAAGACAUGUUCUCCAAAACAUCCAUGGCAUAUUUCGGAUGGAAUUCAAAUUCCCAAAAAUGAACUACAAUGUCUUUAUCAUAUCCAAUAAAGAGACAAGCUAUAUCAAGGAAUAUUUGCUUUUCCUUUUCUUCUAAUUCAUCAUAACUUAUUUUCAAUCUACUCUGGACAUCCUUAUGAGGAUCACUUUCCCACUUACCUAAUUUGGAAUCCCACUUUUUCUUUUCAGUAGUUUGAGAUAAAUGUGAACCCAUGAGCUCAAGUGCUAACGGAAGACCUCUAGCAAUUUUUAUCGCCCUCUCGGAUUGGUCGAUAAACUUGUCCAAAGGAUGAUCUGUUCUAAAAGCAUGUUUGCUGAAGAGUUGAAGAGAUUGAUUGUGAUCCAUGCCCCAAAGCUCAUAACAGCUUUUCACUCCAAGAACAUCAAGAACUUCUUUGCUUCUAGUAGUAACAAUAAUUUUGCUGCCUUUACCAAACCAAUCACACUCACCUGCAAGUGCAUCCAUAUGCUUCUUUUCAUGCACAUCAUCGAGAAGGAGGAGGACUCUUUUAUUAGACAAUCUGUCUUUGAUGGUAUUAAUCCCAUCAUCAAUGUUUCUUAUAUCUGUCCAUUUUUUUUUUAGGAUGUCGGAGAUGAGCUGAUUCUGCAAGGAUUCAAUGCCCUUGCAUUCUGACUUUGACAUUUCACAGAUGUCAGACAGAAAGCAAUAGUACUCAAAUUUUUCUAUAAGCUGAUUAUAGAUGAUUUUGGCAAUUGUCGUUUUUCCGAUGCCACCCAUCCCAUGAAUUCCUAUAAUCCGUGUUUCACUUGUCUGAGCACCUAUCAGUUCCAUGAUUGCAUCCACAUGGUUGUCGACAUUGACCAAGCAAUUUGAUACAACCAAAUAAGCCUUUUUCAACUCAUUGAAAACCUUCCGCGUGAUUGUUUUUGCAAACUGACCUUCUUGCCUAGUGUUUGUUGAAAGUCAAAAGACAAUGAGUUAGAGACGGAGUUGAACCAAACUAUGCUUUGACAAGACCAAAUAGAAAACUACAGACCUAUUCUAAAUGCGUUCUUCAACGAUUUAUACCAUUUUGAUAAACUAGCACUGGAACUUAGGGUAAAUGAAUGACCUGAACUAACGAAAAAUGUUUCUUGCUGGGAAUGAAAUGGGACAAAAAUUGGCAUUGUGAUAUUAUUUAGCCUGAUUUUGCUGCAUAAUUUCAAUUGCAUACAAUUCAAUUUCAACAAGACUAACACAAAUCUAGAAAAAGAAACCAAUUAAAAUGCAUUGAGUUUAACGAUAUAAGGCACAUGAGAUGGAAUGCUAAAAGCAGUCACCUGUUGGGCAUGCUUUGCAGGUCCCAUCCAUUUAUAUCCGCGACUGUAGUGAGAGCAUUCUUCCACUCUGCUAUAGUCUUUUCAUCAUAUCGCUUCUUUCUUUUGUGUGAAACAAAAGCAUUUUCAAAACUCCCGGUUUGGUGUCGAACCUCCGAAGGUGUCACAUCAUAAAAAAUGGGUAUGAUCUUUUGUCCUUCAUUUUUCUGGCACUUGACCAUUUGAACUAGCUCUUUGAGACACCAUACGCUAGAGGCAUAACCUUUUGAAAAGAUAGGUAUUAAGAUCUUCGACUGAUUGAUUGCUUCAAGAAGUUCUGGGGCAAACUCUUCCCCGAUACAGAGCGCGUCAUCGUCCCUAAAUGUGUGGAUUCCUGCAUCUAUAAGAUAAUUGUAAAGGAAGUCGGUAAAACCUGAUCGUGUGUCAAGCCCUCUGAAACUCAAGAAUACUUCAUAGUCAUAUCCGGAAGAUGUUGCCAUUUCCUCAACUUGUGGUGUAGUGCAAGUACGAGCAGCCCUCUCUACGGUACCAUUCUGUGUAGCUGAAUUAUUAUCUGCACUGCCCUCCACAGCGGUCUGACCAGCUCUUUUCUUCAGGAAUCCUUUGAACAGGAUGGCAGAGAGAGCUAUGGCAGCAACUGUCACAAUACAGGGCAACAGCAAGUGCUCAAGCCUUUUGUGAGUUAGCAAAGAGAAGGUUUUUAGAUAGAAAUACAGGGGAAUGGUGGAAUAGCAGAGAUGAGAGGCGGCACUUAAAGAUCAGGAUGGAGUAACGAGCAACGGCGAGAAACCGCCAGAGAAAGAGUAGAGACUGAGGCGAGGGCGGCCACUGAUGCUGCGACGGAUUGGCGACGAGGCGGAGGAGGAGAAGGAUCGAGAGGAAGAGGAGAGGAAGGGGGUCGUGCGGCGAGGAGGCGGAGAAGUAUCGAGAGGAAAACGAGAGGAAGGGGGUCGUGCAGGUGCGGCGAGCGGCGAGCGGAGGAGGAGAAGGGCGCGCUAGCUUGGGUUUUGGAAACUCAAAAAGGAUAUAAAAAUGAGGCUGAUGAGGGUGAAGUGACAGCCUGUCACGUGGGUGGGGGAGGGGAAAAAGAGUUAAUUAAAUUUGGGUUGGGGGGGAAAUGGCCUGACGUGAGGAGAGGAGGGAAAAAAAAAAUUGAAAUAAUUUUUUUUGGGGGGGAGGGGGAAAUAGUCUGACGUGGGGAAGGGAGAGAAAAAAAUUGAAAUAAAUUUGGAGGCGGGGGAAAAUAUAAGAGGGAAAGAAGGGAGUGGGGGUUGGCGGUGGACCCCUCGAUGAGAUUUUUUUUAAUCAAAAAAAUAAAUAAAUGAAAUAAAAAAAUAAUUUUGAAAAUUAAAAAUACUGAAUUUUAAAUGAUAAUAAAUUUUGAUCAUUAUAAAAUAUUAUGGAUUUAUUUAAAUAAGUUGAUUCUAAUUUCUUGUUAAUAAUCAAUUUUAUCAAUAACUUUUGUUAAAAAUAAAAACAUAUUUCUAAACAUGAAUAUGUAUUAAUUAUGAAUAUAUCUUUCAAAAUUCUAAUGAAUUGAUUUAUUAAUAUUAUUAGUGUAAAUUUAUUAUAGGCUUUUUUAAUUAUUUAUUUGUUUAUGAAUUUGAAUUAAAUUAAUUAAAAAUAAAAAUAUCCAUUUAAUAUACAACAUGCUUCAACGUAUCGAAAUUCUCAAUUUUUGAGAAAUGACAUAUUAAUAUGUCGUGUUGCGUGUCGAUACUAGUUAGGGAGUAAGCGCAAGAAGCCAAGGCACUUUAAAUCUCAAGGAGCAAAUGGGCAAGUGUUGGGAUUCACACUCUACAUUGUACGGUGCACACUAUUUUCCCCCCUCUGAAUGCCUUUUGAGGAGAUAACAUUCAACUGCAAUUUCAUAAAAGGUUCUGAAGGAAUAUUCGCUACACAUCGGACAAGGCCGCCAUCUUUCAUCUGGCAUUUCCUAAACAGUGUUCACAUUGCACUAGCUUUGAGGAAGAAAAAAAAGAAUAGUGGCGACAAUGUUUCGCGUGCUAUGAUGCAUAAGUUGGUCUCCAAGACCAACCAAGCACAUCCGCUUGGAUGUAAGUUGUCUCUUCUCAUAUCUCAGGAAUGAAAAUUGUCCUUUCUAAGGUUGAUUCUAGAGAUUUGGCCCUCCACUCUCCUUUUUGAGUUCAUAUUUCAAUAUUGAUACACAUCCUUUUAUUUGAUGAGCAAAACUAAAUUACGAAUCCUUCACUUCGGUGACUGUUUGAAUUCUUGUCCAAGGCUUUCAUAUUACCAAAAACAAUCAAUGUAUUUAAAAAAUACUUCAGUUGUGCUUGCAAACAAGUGUAAGCUGAAGUAUUAAAGUGGUGGAAUGUCAUUGGAAGGUUAAACCAGCGAACAGACCAUGGCUAGCGGAGUAUCCUUCCAAAUGUCACUUCUAGAAAUAUGAACAUAUCACAAUGCAGAGUUUUCUUGUUAAAAAAAUUUGACUCGAAUCUCACGAACUUAAAUAAUUCCCUAAGGGUCUUACAUCUCAAUUGACAACAUGAUUGCAUUCACAUUGGACAUAGCACAGUGCAAAGUUUUUAUUCCCCUUAAAAAAGAGAGAGAGAGAAGUUCAAUCUUUUUGAAUAUCUAUAAUAUAAAUAAUUUUUUCCUAAUGUAACUUCUAGAAAUAUGGACAUCUACUCUCUCUACAUCAGAUCAAAACAUUAUCCAGCGCAAUUCAUUUGAUGGGAUGGUUGUAAUUUGAAAUCUUGCAAAGUUCUAAAAUUCCGCUGGCCAAAAAGGAGUUUUGAUAUAUGCGUUGUAAGUUUGAAUAAUCAAAUAAUAAAUUUCAAAUAUAGCUGGUAAGUGAAAAUUACAUAUGACUUUAUAUAUAUAAUCGACAAAGUGACGAUUACAGCCAUAAGGACGUACUUAAGCCCAACUUGCACCAAGAGCAACCAUGUCGACCGAAGAAAAAAUAGCCGACCCCGAUGCGGCGAAGCUGGCUGAAGCGCUGCUGCUGAAAGAGGAGGCCCUGCCUCCACCCACGAGGCCUCCCGACGAGGCGAGCUUGCUCACAGCGGACGUGGCUCUUCAAGGGUUGCUGUUUGCUUCGAUGCUAAUCGCGCUCUUGAGGACCGUUCUAAGUUUGGUUCUGGAGAUUAGGUCCUCUGCCAUCCUUUUUGAGUUCAUAUUUAAAUUAUUGAUGCACACCAAUACACACGCUUUUACUUGAUGGGCAAAAUUUUAAAAAUCGAGCAAGUUAAUUGAGUCGAGCCCCGAUACCGCGGCCACAUGCAACCACGGCCGUGCGAGGCCAGCAACCUCCGUCUGUCGCGACUUCUAUUGGACAUAGGUUGUGAGUUCCGUGCGGAGAAAAAAAGAGACCAAAGGAUAGCAAACAAGUCAACUCGGUGAGGAGUUGAGGUCGCCGGUGGAUUCACACAUGAAGGUGAGGGCUUGUGAUGGCAAUGGGUGGGCGACACGUAAAAAACAUAAACUAUAUUAACUAUGACACUAAUUAUUCUAACUUUUUUUUUCAUCAUAAAAAAUCGAAACUUGUAUCAGAAAUCCAAAAAGUACUCUCCAUCCAAGAUGGUCAUUAAAAAUUUAAUGUGCCUGUUUGCGUGGACAACAGUAGACAAAUGAAGCAGACAUGACUCAGGAGAAUUCCACCAAAAAGCCUAAACCUUGCUUGGUGCGACAAUGAAACCCAUUUUUUUACCUGUUACUAAUGCUAUAUAUAAACUUGUAUCAGUGACUCGCAAAUAUUAUGCAUCACAGUUCCAUCCAAGACGGCCGUUAAAAAUCCAAUGUGACCGCUUGCUUGGACAUCGAUAGGCAAAUGGAGCCAAUGUGGAUAUGAUGUGGUUUUAGUAUGGUCUAAAGUGACUUUAUACCACUUGUCAAAGUUAUAAGUUUUUAAAAAUUAAACCUCCAUGAUAAUAAGUUGUCUCUCACAAUUUUUAGGGUCCAGGAAGUGGUAUAAUUUGGAGAUGCAGUUUUUUUGAAUAAUAAAUGGGACGAAUUCAUCUCUAUUUUAACUAAAAGAGCUCCGAGCUUAAUUUGAAACUAAUUUACAAAAUAAACGAGCUUCAACUUACUCUCCAUUUAUUUCUUAAAAAAUGAAUGAUUUGGAAAACAUUUUAUAUCGUUCAUAAAAAUGAAUAAAUUAAAGAUAUUUUCAUUAUCUAUGAAAAUAUUUAGACAUAAAUUAUUAUCGAUAGUUAAAAAAAUUCAUUAAUCAAUUGUUUCAAGAAAUAUAAAUGAUGAUUAUCAUUUAUUUUUCGCGAAAUAAACAGAAUGCCAACUUUAACAAAAGUGUAAUGGAAAAUAUUCUUGCUUUGCCUUUUCCUUUUUCUCUAUGCGCUCGAGACCUUACAUUCGUCCACCUUCUUUUUAGCAUUUCACUUAUGUUCUUCUUCUUUUUGGGACAAGAAAGAAUAUGAAGGGAUAUGAUUGUUCACUUUGGAUCUCUUUAUUGGCAUCAAAUAUAUGGUCUAUUGUCGUACCGAUCUGACAUCUAUCAACAACUUUUUUUGGGGUAUGGAUUCAUCAACAACGUUAGCAUGCAAACACUCGUACAAUUUUGUGCCGAAGGGUAAUACUUUUCCUAAAAAAGAAAAAGAAAAAAGAAAAAAAAACUGUAACUGCCCCUCACGAUCUUCCUUCUUUGUUUGAUGAAAAAUCAUUUUUGGAAAAUUUCUUUCCUUACUUUCCAGUGUUUGAAUAACGUAAAGAUACUCGAUCCAUAAAAAAGUUUACCAUAGGCUAAAAGUAAUAAAUAAGCUUAGAGAAAAAUGACUUGGCAAGAAGAAUUUUUUUCCUUGAUUUUUGUCCUAAUUUCUUUCGUUGUUAUUUUCAUGGAUUAUAGAAUAAACGGUGAUGAUAUCAUAUCCAGUUUGUUAGUCAUCACAUGUUACAUUUAACUAUACAAGCCACCCUUAAUGAAUUCACUUAUACCAAUUAUGAUAAAAUCAAUUUCUUCAACUUGUUUUCAGCACAAUCAAAAUUUUGUGUUUACUUUUUCUGAGAUUGAAUUUCCUAAAACAUUUUCCCUCAACAAAAAAAAUUCUCAGUGAGAUAAACACAACCUAAGAGUUUGUUUUCAACAUGAUGUUAUUCGAUUGAAAGAAAUAGUAAGAUGGAAUUAUCAAUGGAUAUGAGAAUUGGACAUCGAUUUGUUGUCAUAUGAUUAUUGGGAGUUGAAUGAGAGAAUAAUGAAUCGGUGUAGGAUUUUACAGAAUGAUCUUAGUGAAAUAUUUUUACGAUAAAAUCUCUACGUUUAUGGAAGUCUGAUUGGGAGGCACAGAGUGCCAAAUAAAUGGAUCAUUGGUGUGAUUCCUUCCAGAGCAAGCUGGUUCAUCAUGGACUCUUGGUAGUCCAAGUCUUCGUUGACUUUGACUUUGCCCUUCUAAUCCCGUGACAUUUCCGUCUUCUUGCACCACUCCAUACGCUGUUCUAUCUUCUUCUUCUUUUCUCUCUUUCUGAGAGUUGUAGCUAAUGCGAUUUUAAAUCUAAUGAUAGUAUUUUGACGCAAGGCAAAAUUAUAUGUAUACGGCACUUUUGUUCUUUCCAUUCAAUUAAAUUAGAAGCCAAAUCAGUGCAGCACAUUGUGGAAUCUAAAUCACUUUUAGAAGCCAAAAUUACAAAUGGAGAUCUGCAUGGGUCAUUAAAAGUAGAACACAGGAUUUGUUGACUGUGCUGAGAGCCGGGGGCAGUUCGUACUCUAAUGAUAUUGUCUUAGUAGAGUUUGCUUUCACCCUGAAAUAGAACCGCACGGUGUCCAAUGCGUCUUCCUUCUUCCAUUGAAUCAUCGGAGAGCACCGUGUCGCUAUAAAUGCCCCCGCCCUUGCCCACAAAUUAACAAGAAUGACAGGGCACGGAGACCCACUCGUGGCUUUGCUUGAACAUAGUUGUAGUGUCGCUUUCAGGACAGGAAUGUGUCCCAAUCGGGGAAAAAGUAUCAAGUCUAUUUUGAAGAAAAAACGCCCCGUCUGUUUUUUGUGCUCUCCAAACCUCAAAAAUACAAAGGAAGUUGGGAAAAUAUGGCAAUUUCAAUGGGGACGCAUGGGCUAAAAAUCCAUGAUUUCGGGGUUGCCCUACCAAAUUCGGCAUAUGGACUGGAUUACACCUCUCUUCACUUCCUCCCUAUUCUUCGAGCAGGUCUUGCCUGCUUGAGCACCAGGGCAUGUGAACCCGACUCAUGCACAGAUGGAUCAUGUGAAUUCUCCAUACGUUCCAUCUCAUCCAUUGGUACGCAUGACCCCGGAUUGAUUUAGCAUCUUCUUCCUAUUAAUUGGCUCCCGCUCCACCGCACUCGAUAUCAUUAGUCCCCUCAUGUGAGUCAUGUGACCACCGACAGUUGAUAGUAGGGGUGAGCAACGGUCUAGGGUUGACCCUGGACCGACCCUGGACCGGCCUAACCCUACCGGUCCUGGUCUGGUUCCCAAGGGGACUGGGUCGGUCCUUGGUCCUGGAAUUCCAGGACCAACACUGUGCGGGUUGGUCCUCGGUUCUUAGAGUUUUGGGUCGGUCCAACCUUGGACCACCCUGUAUAUUAUAUUAUAUUAUAUAUAAUUCUUUUAUAUACUCAAACCUAAGUAAAAUGUAUGUUAUGUUAUAUUAUAUUAUAUUAUAUUAAGAUAUUCUAUCAAUAGCACUAAUAGUAAUUUCAAUUUAAAAAUUUUGUUGAGUAUUAAUUAUGUGUCGUUUGUUUUGUUUUCAAGUGUUUAGAAGUUUAAGUGAAUUAACAAGAUGUGAAGUUAUAUAUUCAUGGUUUAUAUUAAGUAUUUUGAACUUUUUAUGGUUUAAUUGUAUUUUACUAAUGAAUUUCAGCUACACUUUGCUUUUCAAUUUGUGUCAAAUGGUAGAAGUUUUUGAAGAGUAGAGUAGUAUUGCAGUUGCUACGGUGAUUUGCUACAUGAUCAAAUGCAGGAAAACACUUUUGCAUAUGGUUUUAUGAAUAUUAAAGAUAGAUGACUACAAGAACUUUCCAUCUUGUCCCAUAUCUCGAUAAGCGGUUAGCAGGUACAAAAUUUCUAUUAUUGUGUCAUCUUAAAUUUGCUAAAUAUGUAUUGGUAUUUAUAAUUUAGUUGCACAAUGCCGCAUUGUCGAUGGAUGUGUAAUUUGAAUGUGUAGGUUUGCUUUUUUAGGGAGUAUAAAAAAUAAGACGAAAAAAAUUAUCGAUCGGUCCCGAGUUAACCCUGGAAUCGGACCGAACCCAUUGGGUCAGUCCGGUCCUUGGUCCCAGGCUUAAUAGGGUCGGUUCUCGGUCCUAAAAAUCGAGGACCGACACUGUACGGGUUGGUCCUAGGGUUGGGGGUGGCCCGGACCAACCCGGACCAUGCUCACCCCUAGUUGAUAGGUCUAUGUUCAAUCCGCCAUAAUCAUGGCCCCUUGUCCUUUUCCCUCUCCUCCUCUCCUUUCUCCCCUAUCAAUUGUGUUUUGUCUUUUUUGGUGCUGUCAAAAUACCCAAAUGCCCUCUUGGCAAGGAAUUUAUUUAUCCUUUUCUUUAUGGUAUUGAUUUUAAUGAUAAACUAGGAUGAGGGCCUUUCUCCGUUCCUAAAAAAAUCUCUCGAUAUAGAUUUGGGAGUUUAAUAAAUAUACUUUUGGGGAUUCAAUGCUCUCAUGCUUUAUUCAUGUACAGAGUCUCUGCCCUAGUCUCAAUGAUGAUCGUAGGAGUUUUAGCAUCUCAUUGAAUUAUAAAGAUUUGUUCCUCCACACAUUAGAUAUGUGUUUAUCUAACAUAUUAUGGUUGUUUUCGUAUGAUGAUGGUAUAGAGGAAGCUGAAUCUAGGCUCGCACCAUCAACUAACGACAUCAUAAUUAUUGAAGAAGGAAUUUUUGGUGUGUACUCAUCACUGACACGGACUCAAGAUCUAGUGAUUGGUUGCUAAUUUUGUUUGGCAUAUCUGUUCAUGUGGAACGAGUUUAUGCUUAACUUUGCAAUUGCUCAAUCAAUCCUCCUUGGGUUCUGGAUUUGGCUUUGUUUUUUAGUAUUCAUGCUCUGUUCUGAUUUGCUUUGUCAUGAAAAUUAUGUACUUCUGCAUCCUUUUGAGUAAUGAAUAUAAUUUUCUUUCGACCGAAAAAAGAAAAAAGAAAAAAACUAAGUCAAGCCCCGACACCACAGCCAUUCAACCAUAGAUUUGUGGCUCUAGCGACCUCUGCCAGUCGUGAGUUCCAUGGACAUAGGUUUAUGAGCUCUGUGCAGAAAGAAAAAGAGACGAAGGCAUAGAAGAUAGACUUGAGCAGGUGAGGCGUUAACUCACCGAUGGAUUGAUGCAUGAAGUUGAGGGCUAGUGAUGCAAUGGGUGGGCAGCAAAUUCGGCAACGCUGAGUGUGCAAUUCCAUAAAAAAAAUCCUAACCUUUAUAUUUACUGUAAUACCAAUUAUCCAAGCUGUAUUUUUAUCAUCAAAAUCCCAAACUUAUAUGGUAACCAAAAAAUAUGUUCCAUCAAAGUUUGGUCCAAAAUAAAUGUCGAAAAUCUAACGUGGCAUCUUGGACAGCGACAAACUUAAAAAUUUGAAUAAAGCUUUUGAAAGAAAACUGGACUUAGCAACUUUUAGGAUCCAAAGAAGGGAGAUAAUCCACUUGGCGGUCCUUUUUGUAAAAGAAACGAGCUACACUUUUAACAUCGAAGGAAAAGUGGGAUGGAAUACAAAUUCUUGCUUUGCUUUUAUCCUUUUCCGCUUUGCACUUGAGACUCACAUUCGUCCACCUUGAUUUUAGCAUUUCACUUUUGGUCUUACUCCUUCUCGGGAGAAGAAAGCAUAUGAUGGAUCUCUCUUUAUUUGGAUGAAGAGACCAAAAUAUUCGACAUGCCCAGGUUUAGAAAUUUUUAUCUUUCCUUUUAUUUAGUUUAUUUUCUAGGUGAAUUUUGUUUAAACUCCACGACAACUCCUUCCACGUCGUUCAUUGACCUUUUCGCACGUUUCUUCCUUUGCUUCAAAUCCUUGAUCUUCCCCUCGUUGGCAUUGCUCUCUGCUCACACGCCUCCAAAACCCUAACCCGAUGCCCAUGGCCAUGGUCAUUUCCGGUGAUUGACGAACUGACCUCCUCAAAGUUGCCGGGGAGUGGAUGAUCGAUGUGAACGCUCCAACACCAGCAAGACCUUCAGACUUCGAUGGGUACUGAUGUGGACUAAAUGAACCUAUUGGUAUUUGAUAAGGAGGACAUGGAGGAAACACGGUGAGACAGCCAAGGAGGAAAAAUAAAAUCCCGCAAGAUACAAAGGUGUAAAAUUGUUUGGUUCCAGAAUUCAUGGGCUCUUAAGUCUUUUUGUACGUACAUCCGAAUUUGACAAAAACAAAAUUUAAAAUUGAAGCAAUUAAUCACGAUUGACUCUAUGAGUCAAAAAAGACUCUUGGGAAGUAUAAAAUUCAUCGAUUCGAGACCAACGGAAGAUCAAAUUUGUUUUCCAAUAGCUUUAGCUUUGAUUAAACUCCACUAAACUUUUGUUUUAGUAAAACAAACUCCAAAGGUCUCGUUGCAAUUUUUUUUUUAAUCGGACUCCUUCCAUUUAAAUUGAAAUUGAGUGUCCUCCAUUAUAGCUCAGAAGCUCCAAGAAGAAGAGAAAAUAGGUGGGAUCCCAUUGCCUUAACUCAUCUCUUUAUAAAGGAAAAGAGAGACUUUUCGUAUUAGAUGUGGGCCUUAACUAUCAAAGACCUUUACUCCUUCACCAUAGAAAUAUCAAGGAAAUAAAAAGGAAAGAUCUUUUUCAAUGACUUUUGGAUAGAUCAUUGAACUUAGAAGCCAUAGGAUUGGCUGAACAUGCAGAGAGAGUUGUGGGUCAGUUUGCUGCAAAAUUUGGUCAAUAAGGAUGAUUCCUUGAAGCAUCGAUCCAGCUUGCCAAAGUUGACAAUUAUUUACAUUUCUUAACACAAAAAAAUCACUAGACCAUGUGUUGCAAAAAUUUUGGGAUUAGAAUCGACUUAUGCCCCCCAAAUAAAUGGCAGAUUCAUUCAAAGUCAAGUCAACAAAAGCAGACAUCAAAUUUUGACAAUUGACAAGUGUAUCAAAUUGAGGUUUUAUCCUUUGUUUGUCACAUAUUUAUUGGUUUGUGCUUUUUCCUAGUAUUAAUCCUAUUUAACGGAAACUAAUGGAGGGUAAAUUUGUCACAAUGUGCUAGUUUGGAGUUUUUGGUGAUCAAAAAAUUAAUUUGAGAUAAAUUUAUCACGGGUAUAUAAGUUUGGGAUUUUUCGUUGUAUUAACUCUAAAAACAAUAAGAUUUAGAGAAAAACAACUUGGCAAGAAGGAAUCAUUACCCUUAUUUUCUUGCUACGCUUUAAAGUGAGAAGAAUAUACUUUAUCAAUGCUCAAUUUUUCUACAUUCCCAAAGCAUGAUUAAUCUAAUAUUUUACAAAUAUGAUUUCAUAAUUUCUAUCUUGAUUUCUUUGUAAUCGUUUUUAUUUCAAUGGAUUAUAGAAUUAAUGAAGAAGAUAUCAAUUCUAGUUUAUUAGUCAUUCCAAGUUACUUUUAACGAUACAAACUGCAUCUAGUGGAUUCACUUAUUACUAAUUACGAUAAAAUCAGUUUUUUUCAACUUGUUUUCACCAUAAUCAAUUUUUUCUGAUUCCCUUUCUCUAAAAUUGAAUUUCCUAAAAGCAUUUUCCUGCAGCAAAAAUCAGCGAGAUAAAGACAUCCUCAGAGUUGUUUUAUUUAUUUGAUUUUCUAAUUUCAUAUGAUAUUAUAUGAUGGGAGGAAAUUGUACGAUGAAAUUAUCAACGGAUAUGAGAAUUGGAGGGCAAUUUGUUGCCAUGUAAAUUUUGCGGGUGAGUGGGAGAACGAUCAGUCAGUGUUGGAUUUUACAGAGUGAUAUGGUGACCUUUUUUUCUCUUCUUUUUGAUAAAAUCACUACAUUUAUGGAUGUCUGUCUGCAAGGGACAAAGUACCAAAUGAAUGAACCAUUGGUGUGAUUCCUUCUUGAGCAAAGCUGGUUCAUCAUGGACUGUUGGUAGCCCAAGGCUUUGUGGACUUUGACUUUGCCCUUACUGGUAGACUGUUCUUUUAUUUAUCUAUCUUCUUUGGAGAGUGGUAGGUAAUGCAAUCUUUAAUCUAAUGAUUUUAUUUCGAUGCAAGACAAAAUUGUAUAUAUACCGCACUUCACAUGAUAACUAAAAAUUCUAUGUUUCACGAUGGAAAAAUAGCCACUUCACAACUGAAGUUUUACAAUGCUAACUCAACAACAGCCAAGGUAAGUUGCAUAUACCAAAAUUAGCUUCUGUCAACCAUUUUUUAGCCAAUAAAAGUCACUCGUAAAGUGUUGAUAUGUACGAUAUCGUAAGCUUUUCACGGUCCGAAUUAUGAUCAAUCCAAUGAUGAAUAAACCAAGCAUUGCCUCCUCUCCAUUGAUCUCAUUUGAUCUUUUCUUUGAGAAAAGAUUCAGACAUGGAAAAAAGUUCAGGAGCCCUACUUAUCAAGUGCUGCUAGGCCGAAAAAAAUAAAAAUCCUUGAUCAAAUGGUGGCCGCCAAUCAAUCAACUAUCAAAGUAAUUAACUCAUUGGGGACCUCAACCUUCAUUCACGGCGAAACUGGCCCGUGAGGAUCCAUGAAAAUCUUGUCAAAAAAGCAAAGUGAUAGUGAAAAGAAAUAAAGCAAUACGGCAAAGAAAAAGAAUAUGGAUUCUAGUGUGGAAAAGAAGACCCGCCAUUGCUUUAGCAUGUGCAUUUGGUAGUCCAAGUCUUCGUAUGCUUGGGUCAAUCAUUGGUUUGAUUCCUUCUUGGAGCAAAGCUGGUUCAUCAUGGACUGUUGUCAGUCCAAGUCUUCGUAGACUAACUUUGCCCUUCUAAUGCCGUGAUGUUUCAGUUCUCUUGCAACCCCUCGUAUGCUGUUCUGUCUUUUUUUUUCCUUCUCUCUUUUUGAGAGUGGUAGCCAAUGUUAAUGCCACGGUAAAACGAGGCACAGGGAGCUUAGGUUUUAGAUUGUUGGCAUUCGUAUCAAUAUCACAUCAAACAAUCUCAUACAAUUCAUAAUCUAAUGAUUGUAUUCAGUGCAACGCAAAAACUUACAUGUAUGCAGCACUUUCGUACUUUCCAUUUAGUUAAAUUAGAUGGUAUCAACUUUUUUUAUUGAUUGAUGAUAUAAUUGGCUAGACUAUUUAAAAAUCAAAGUAUUUCUAAAUAGAUAGUGUUUGUUUGCAAGUAUUUUUUUUUUUAUUUUCUAAAUCAAUUUUGUGGAAAUUAAACAUUCCGUGUUUCACAAUAGAAAACAAAAUCUCGCUAGAUCAGAGGUAUAAAGAUCCAUUCUGAAAUUCAUAAGUUCUUAAAUCUUUUCAGGCAUAAAUCCAAGUGUGAAAAAAACCAACAUUUAAGAUUGAAGUUAUUAAUCGCAAUGACUUGAUGAGUCAAAAAACACUUUUGGGAAGUAUCGAAUUCCCAUUUGAGUAGCAUCUAUUUUCACAAAUCUAUUUAUUCACUUGCUAAAUAUUAAAUCAUGAUUUGAUCAUAUCACUCAAUGUAUCGAUUUUAGUAUACUUAUUUAAAUUUCUUGUAAAUAACUUAGAUUUAUUGGUUAAACUUCAAAUGAUGAAGAGCUCAUGCUUAUUGAGUAAAAGUGCACAUAUUUUUAACAACAUUAAAAGAAAAAAAAUCCACAUCUUGCUAGCAGUUAAAAUUAAAAUGCUAUCUGUUAUGUGAAAUGUUGAAUGCAUGUUAUUUUACAAAAUUCUUAUAGUAAUUAACCCACCGAGGACCUCAAUAGUCAUUCACGGCAAAACUGCCUUGAAGAAUCCGAGGAAAAUUCUUGUUAAAAAGCAAAGUGAAUGAUGAAAAGAAAUAAAGCAAUGCAGCAAAGAAAAAGAAGGGGUCAUCCUAAUGUGGAAAAGAAGUCCCGCCAAUGCUUUAGCGUGUGCCUUUGGUAGUCCAAGUCUUCGUAGACUUGGGUCAACAUUGGUGUGAUUCCUUCUUGAGCAAGCUGGUUCAUCAUGGACUGUUGGUAGUCCAAGUCUUCGUAGACUUUGACUUGGGUCAAUCAUUGGUUUCAGUCUUCUUGCACCACCCACACGCUGUUUUGUCUGAUUUUUUUCUCUUUCUGAGAGUGGUAGCUCAUGCUAAUAGCACGUUAAGACGAGGCACAUGGAGCUUAGGUUUUGGAUUGUUGGCGUCCUUAUCAAAAUCACAUCAACCCAUCUCACGCAAUUCUUAAUCUAGUGAAUGUAUUUUGAUGCAACACAAAAUUAUAUGUAUGCGACACAUUCCAUUUCCAUUUAGUUAAAUUAGAUGGUUCCAACUUUUUUAUUGAUUGAUGACAUGAUUGACUAAAUUUUCAAGAGAGAAGUUUUUUUUGGACAUAUAGUGUUUCUUUGCAAGUAUUUUUCUAUUUUUUGAAUCGAUUUUGUGAUAACUAAACAUUCCUUGUUUCACGAUAGAAAACAAAAUCUCUCUAGAUCUGGAGGUGUAAAAUUGUUCCAUUUCGUAAUUCAAUGUUCUUAAGUCUUUCCAGGCAUAAAUCCAAGUGUGACAAAAAAAAAAUUAAGAUUGAAGUUAUUAAAUCACGAUGACUCAAUGAGUUAAAAGGAAGAAUCUUGGGAAGAAUCAAAUUUCUUGAAUUGAGAUCGAUGGAAGAUUGAAUUUGUUAUCCGAUAGCUUUAGCUUUCAUUGUCACUCCACUAAAAUUUUGUUUUAGUAAAAUGAAAAUCUCGUCCCAAUUUUUUUUUUUUGAAAUCAGACACCCCCCAUUUGAAUCAAAAUUGAGCUUCCUCCUUUAGCUCAAAAGCUCGGGAAGAAGAGAAAAUAUGUGGGAUCCUAUUGCCUAAUUCUUACUCAUUUUAAAGGAAAAGAAAGACUUCUCAUACAAAUGUGGACCUUAAUUAUCGAUACAUUUUUUCCUUUACCCUAGAAUAUGCAGAGAGUCAUGGGCCAGUUUUGCUGCAAAAUUGGUCAGCAAGGAUGCUUCCUUGCAGCAUCAUUGCGGCCUGUCAACCGUGAAAAAAUAUUACGUUUCUUAACGAGGAAAAUCACUAGACUAUGUGGUGCAGAAAUUUUGGGAUAAGAAUCUACUUUUGCCCCAAUAUAAUUCAUUCAAAGUCAAGUCAACAAAAGCUGACACGGAACUUCCAAAACAAGUUCGUUUCCCCAUCCUAAUUAAGGUGAACUCCGGUCGGUCCAAUUUAAUGGGCUGAUCAGGCCCAGGCCCGGAAUAACUCUGAAGCAUAAAGCCUAGUGGAAUUAUUGUCAAAGCACUCCCUAGUGAUCAAUUGAAUUAAGAAAAGAUUACAUUUUAUUUCGAAGGUGAACCAUCCUUCGCAUUUAACCUGUUGUUAGUGUCAAAAAUUGCUUGUCACAAAACGUUGUAGUUGAACAUUAAAUCCAUGCAUUGUGCUGAUUAUUAUACAAAACAUUACUAAAAUAGAGUACACAAAACCAAUGUGUAAGCACGGUCUUGUGUCAUAUUAAAACUUUGAGCCACCAACAAGUGUGGUAAAUAAGCUCACGAACAUGAUGUGACCUAUUAGAUCUCAUUUGGAAUUUAACUUAAUUAGCAUUUCCACAUUCACAAUUGAACUCGAAAGCCUCUAUGAUGACCAGGAAAAGUUUAGUGAAGCCUCUCUAAUGACUAUAAUGAUUAAAAAAAAAUAUUGACUCCCCCGGAAUUCAAGUAUGAAAGUUUUCUAUUUUAAAUAAUGUUUCGGAGGUGUGGCUCUUUGCUCUCUUAGUUAAUGUUUGUGGAUUAUCUAUUACAAAGGGGGGAAAAGAGGCAAAAAUAAAAGAACUUAUGGACAACAUGAGACUAUUCCAUGUUAAAAUUUGAGAAUUGGAAAAAAAUUUGCCACGCUUCUAUUAAUUUGAAAUUAAAUGAUUUGGGUUGCUAUUUCAGAUUUACCUCAACAUUAGAUGAUGUCAAACCAAGUCCAUUUGCAGCUAGAAACAUUUUUUAGUAUAAUUAAUAAUUGAAAUGGCUCCUCUUCAACUUCUGUGAAUCCAACUUAAGAGCCAUGCUUUACUUGAAAAACAAAUUGGACAUGCAUUUACCGAUGUAGAGUAUUAAUUUUCUUCACGUCGUAAUUUUGUGUUGGUUAUUGUCAUAGAGGUGAUGCCAUAAGUGCUAAGAUACUUUCACACACAUUGUAAUAGCUGCUUUGACGUAUACGGUAUUAUGAAGUUAUCGUUCUCCUGCGUGAAGAAAGCAAAAAUGAUACUUAGCUCUUUGUUGGUUGAUCUCCAACUUGAAAAGUUUGCUUUUACAUGGAAAUGAACAAAUAUUGGACAAGGAAGAAAAAAGGGGAAAAACUCAAGUCUAAGUGCAUAUGGCACCAAAAGGAAAUCUAAUUUCGAUAAGACUAGAUAUGAAUCAUAGUUCAGAUUCAAGUUGAUUCAGUGAGGGCGACUGCAAAAGUCACCGAAUGGGUCAGUCUUUUCCUUUAGUUUUUGUCCUAUUUAAUAAAAUAAAAAAGCGUGGGAGGAUGUUGCAGAUGUCCAGGAUGGACACGACUUCUUGUAACACUAGAAAACCACUAGAAGACACUCGGGACCAAAGCAUGUUGUGAAAGAAGCACAUUGGGGCAUUGACCAAUUUCAAAUAUAGUAAGACCAAGCAACAAAUUAUAAGGUAUCUAAAAAACACCACAUAAUAUAUUGACAAAAUAAGGCACUUGGAGUUUAUAUAAUUUGACCCGACCUCACUAGGUAAGUUAAUUAGCAAAUCAAGCCAUUGAAACAUAUAAACCAAGCCAAACCAUACCAAAACAAAGAAGAUCUGAACAAGGUUAUUUGCAGAAAUAUAUCACUAGUCAACAUGCAAAGUGCACAUAAAAAGAAGAUUUACAUAAACCUCUUUGUAAGUCAUAUGUUUAACAGAAUAGGAGGCACUUCUUAUCAGACAAAAAAAGUACUCAACAGUGCAGAUGUCCAUUUUUUUUUUCUUCCGCAGAAAUUUGCCAAGUUUGAUCAAGCAACUCCUUAAUGUGCUGAGUUUCCAAAUCUCCUGUGGUGAAGAAUGCCUAUUUGUUUCAAUUUCCUCCACAUUGAUACAUCAGAAACAUCAGGAUAGAGUUGCCAGAGAAGAUAUGCAAAUUGUCCAGUGAUUUUGGUCAACCAGAUUACCACAAUGAUCUAAAUGAAAAUCCAUUAGUUUCUUCAAGCCACUCAGUCGGCCAAUCUGUCCAGUCGGUUGAGUUCGUUCAGCUCCAAAUUCCAGAUUUAGUCUGGUGGCAUCUUUAUUCACUUGCAGUUUCUCAAAGACUAGCGUUCAAGGCUUAUGAUGGUAACCAAUCGAGUGAGGAAGCUCCAAGAUCCCAGUUCCUUACAGAGAAAGCCUCAACAGGGAAGUCGGGUAACUGAUUGAAGGUUUUGUAGUCAGUGAGGAACGGUGGCAAGCACAGAGAAUUUCUAGACUCUUCAAUCCUUGACAUUCAAGCAUAUGAUUCAUUGAUGUCCCAUCAAUCAAGGGUUCUCUCAAACAUUCCAUUUUACUAGGCUCCUAGGGAGAUGGUGGAGAUCAAUCUUUCUAAAUGCACAUGUAUCUGAAAUCUAGCAUCUAACAGAACCAUUUUGACAUCGAAAGGUCCACCUGAUCUGACUGAAUUGAGGUCAUAUAGCAAUCUCUUCCAAGGCAGUAAGCCCAUGUCAGACUUUCCCCCUCCAUCUUGGUAGUUUGUAGAUGUACGUUCCCGAUAAGUUAGAGACUGUUGAUGUUUGUCCAUCUUGGUAGUUCUUACAAUAUUUUCUGUUCGUGUGAAGUCCUCCGAGAUGCACUAACCGAGACAUACUCCUUUGAUCAUUUUAUUCAAAUCAAUUCACUGUUCCCGCUGCUCCAUGGUUUAUAGCAGCAUCGUCAUAUGGACCACCCAUCUCCAGUGAUCUUACUUGUGCUUAGACUCCUCUGGAAGAAAUAUUUGAACAGAACAGCAGAAACAACGAUGGUAGCAACUGUCACCACACACAGGACAACCUCAAGUUUAUCAAUCGUUUUGCGCCAGCACAGGUCCACCUUGGCAGAAACUACAAUUGUUGAGCUGCUGCUGCUGCUGCUCCUCCUCGGAGGCGUCAGACGACGCCUGCUGGUUCCAGCUUGGUUGUCACUGCUCGUUCGAGAAAGAGAGAGAGAGAGGCCGAAUCGGAAUCCGAAGUGACGAUCUGAAAUAAAAAUGGGAGGAGGAGAGAGUCGGAGGGGGAUGGUGGGAUACUCGAAGUCGUAUCGGAGUCAGUGUCGGAAACUGGAGGAAGCAGAGGAGGGUUCUUUGCGUCUUUUCGUAUUUUUGUUUUAAUUUCUUUUCACGCUUUUCCUUUUUAUCUUUCGGAGUUUGGUUUUUUUCCUUUCGGUUGCUCUUUUCAUUUUUCGCUACAUGCGAGUGGCCCGAAGAUUUUCCGCCAGUAAGAGAGGAAAGGGGGGAGGGGGGAUUGUAUUUUCGUUUCCCCUGCUGCAGAAUUGAAGGUGACAGCGUCAGCUCCCGCGCGAGACGGGACUUGCGGGUCGAGGACUAGAGGCGGUCCGACCUUCUCUUGCUGCCUGACGCAACCAAUUCUUAACGUUGCAGUCUCACGUACACUGUGGAAGAUUAAAUUUGAACCAAAACUACUCAGUUUACGUACGUAUACAGGCCUGUCAUUGCUGUCUUACCAGCGUGCUAGAAGCUGGGAAAUAUCUCCAUAUGAGGUAGCGAUAUAUGCAGGAUACAACCUCGCCGAGGAUUCGCUCACAAUGUGAUUCAAAUGAUUCAAUUCAUGGAAAACAAUGUGACCCGCCUAAUGUUAAGUCACCGCAUUUGCGGUGGGCUACGAUCUUUUCACCUUCAUUGUUCUUUCUUUUUCAAAUUGUUUCAAGUGAAUGAGUCGUGUAUGAAUUUGACAAAAGCACGAGAGGUGCAUAAAUCUGUUUCGUGCUUAUUAGCACCUAAGUUUGACGAGUGACUGAUCUAUCAAUACUGGCCAUAAAUGAAGAGAUUUGGUGAUUGUUCUCUGCAAAAAGUUACUGUUGCACCCUUCAUGCUCUUGAAUCACACCUUGUUCUUCACUUCCGAUUGUUGUUUUGUGUACUAACUUCUCUGUAUUUUGGAAUAACACGAAUUUUCAGAUUAAGCUUGAAUCUGAAAAUAUUUGACUGGAGAAGUUUGCCAUCAUAAUGAAGUAAUUGCAAUUUCAUAUACCUCCACUAAUAUAAGUAAACAUUAUAUCAAUUUUAAUUUGAGUGUAUAGUAACCAACUAAUUGAACCGUAGAGCACCCAUUUGUCCAACAGAAUGUCUCAUUCUCUUUGGCUAAAAUACAACAGAAGGCAUCCCCAUGCAGUCUUUCUGAAAGUUCUGAAUUAAGCAAAACUUACUUCAGUGCUCUAAUGCACAUGACGUAAAUCACUGAAUGUGACAUUGAAAAUGCCUACCGACAAAAUAUGAUCCCAAGGGCAAAUCAAGAAAGAUCGUAAAGAAUAUGGAACGGAACAAAUUGCGUUUGAGGGUGAUGGUUGUUUUGACAUGCUUGAUUGCUGCAAAGUGAGGCGAUACUCAAUCAUAAGUUCUGAUAGUUUCUUCAAGUUUGAUAGGUCAAUCAAUGUAUCCGUCAACUGGCAAUGUCCGAUUCAUAAGGGCAAUAAACUUGAGGGAAGCAUUGGGAGGCAGCACAGACAUUCUGUUGUUAAAAUAUGUCUGCGAAAUGGGUAGAACAAUGAAAUCGGAUCGAGUAAAAACAACUCGGACUUUGAAGCGUGAUAUCACUUUCUUUAAGGAUUUAUUUGCCCCACUACGUUGCUAAUGGUCACCGGCAAAUUUCCUCCAGGAUACAACAAAGUCUCGGAUGAGAAUACUAGAUAGCAAUUCUAAUAUUUCUCCAGGGUCUCUCUAAGAAACAAUCGAAAAAUUGGCUGCUGUUUUUUCAAAAAGAGGACUCGAAAAUGACCAUAAUUCUUUCCGGAAAAUGACAAGUAUUUAUAUGAAACGGUCUUGCAACUCUUCGUGAAAAUUGCGAACAAACACGUCUUUAGAAAAUUGUUCGGAUAAACAAAUGCGACUCUUCGGAAGAAGUCGAAAACCGAACAAUUGCAAUCCUUCGGAAAAAUUAAAACCGAAUAAGUAAUUUUCCAAAGGUUGUCUUGAAAAAACACAAAUAAAAUUCGGAAUAAUUAUUAUUAUUUUUUAAAUAGAAUUUCGAAUUUUCAUUUCCGAAAUUCUCAAAUUAAAAGGCAACCUUUGAACUAAAAUAUAAAAUAAAAUAAAAUAAAAUAAAUAAAAAGCAAGGGAUUAAUGCUAAUUAUCCGCGCACCCGCACGCGGGUAUGGUGGGUCUAGCCCCACCUAAUCACUCCUUUAACUACAAAAGGAAAUUCCUCAUUAAUAAACUAAUCCUCCUGCUCCCACCUUUUCUAUGUGGGACAAAGUAAAAAGCACUUAUUUUGUUUUAACAAACAAAAUUCCAACACAUUCAUUAGAGAGUUCAAGUCUCCUGAGAUGAGAAAGCUGUGCAAUAUAUGGUGAUAUGGUGGUCAUUGUUGAAGAGGACAACUCUAAAGACUCUAGUUUGUUUAACCUACUGAUCCACCUAGAGAUAGCAUCUUCCACAAGCUUAGACGGGUCAACGAGCCGAGGAGACUUUUGGCAUCCCAAAGACAAAUGUCUCAAGCUUUUCAAGUUCAAGAGAUUGGAAAUGCUAUCAUCAGGUCACUGCUCGGUAUGAAUAUGUAGACAAAGAAGAAUUUCUAGGAGUCUCAGCACUUGGGGUAUCUCAACACAUGUCGGUUUCAAAAUCUUCCAAGAUGAACAUCUCCAGAUAUCAUAGGAAUUUCUGAUUAGCAAAUUUUCACUAAGCUCUUCAUCUAUUCUUCUAGCUAUUCCUGCUUCCAUACUGCACUAGUUAUCAUUUUCAUGAUAGAGAACCUAAUCUUCAAUACUUGCAAAUACUUCAUGUUCCCGACCAACAAGGCAGCUUCUCUAUGUCCAUGUUCAAUAUAUCGAACUUAGCAAGUGAUUCCAAAUUCCAGAUCGAGUCUAGUAGUGUCUUUAUUGACUUGCAGUUCCUGGAAGACUAGUGUUCGAGGCUUACAAGGGAUCUACUUGAACUGGGAAGCUCCACGAUCCCAGCUCCUCACAGAGAAAGCCUCGAUAGGGAAGUUAGGUGACAGAUUGAAGGUUUAAUAGUCAGUGAGAAACGAUGGGAAGCACAGAGGACCUGCAAGCUCUUCAAUUCUUGACAUUCAGGCUUAUGCUUUAUUGAGAUUAUACGGCAAUCCCUUUAAGGCAGUUAAGUCCGUGUCAGACUUUCCCCUUCCAUCUUGGUAAUUCGUAGAUGCAUAUUCCCUUUUAAGAUAGAGAUUGUUGAUGUUUGUCUGUUAAAACAAGUAUGCAAAAUUGCAAAUCGAACAAAGUUAACGUCUAGCAAGCUAGUCGCCAUAUCUUUUUCCCAAAAAUCAUGUACUUUUUAUUCGUGUGAAGUCCUCCAUUAGGUACUAACCGAGUUAUCCAGAGUUAGUUUCAUUGUUUGAUUCCAUCAUUUCUCCGUUCACGCUGCUCCAUGGUUUAUAGCAGAAUUUCUCCAAUGAUCUUACAAAGCUGCUCUUAGUCUUCUCUGCUCCAUGGUCUAUAGUAGCAACUGUCGCCACACAAAAUGCAACCUCUAGAGGUGAACCGUUUUGCACCAGUACAAGUGGUCCACCUCAGCAGAAACAACAAUUGUUGAGCUGCACGAGGACUGGGGGUGGUCUGACUUGGCCUCACCUCCCAAGUCGCAAUGGGUCCGGAUUUUUUUUUUUUUGAUAAAUUAAAAAGUGUGGGAAGAGAUGACCAAUACGAUUAUCCAUUCUUGUUGUUACAUAAAGUGUUGUGUACAUCACAAAAUAUCUCCAUUGAGCCAUAACCACUUAAUCCAUCAACAAGUGUGCGAAUCUAUCACCAUAACUAAUAUGCCAAAAGCUUGAAAAUAUUUCCACAUAAUGUUGUGAAUACCUAAAAUACUAACGGGUGAAAAGUCCACUCAUGACAUGAUUCGAACUUACGAAAUGAUAGAAGAUGGCAUGAUCACUUCAUCAUUGGGUUAUCGUGCUUGGGGUUGGAUUGCGAUUGCAACACUUUCAAUGAAUGAGUGGUGCAUGAGCCUGAUCCAAAAAGGAGUGAUUUAUAAAUCUGUUUUGUACUUAUAAACUUUGACUUAAGUCCAAUGAGGUGUCGAUGUGUUUGUGUUACCAAUAAAAGAAGAGGUUUGAUGACUGGUUUCUACAAAAUUGAUUAAUUUACUCUUCAUAAUUUUCUCUUGAGUUUCACUUAUUAUUUAACUUCCACCUUUUUGUUUUGUGUACUAACUUUUCUAUGCUUUUAUAAACAUUUGACUGUGAAUAUAAAUCCGUGAGAACCACCAAACAUCGUGCCUGCCACGCAUCAGGGUUCUUAUAUUAUUUUGCUUGCGUGAGCUAAUUGCAAUUUAAGGAAAAAAAAUCUUCCACGUUCUUUGAUAAUUUGAAAAUGACAUUUUGUGUCUUUUGUUGCGUGAGAUUACAAACUCUUUUUACUUCAAACACACUCGAUGAAAAAGUCCAAUGACUUUUGUUCUCAAAGAUUACAGACAUUUUUACUUGUUUAAAUCUUUUACAUGUAAAGUAGUCAAUCCCAAUGAUUGUACAACUCAUAUAUCAAAUGAGCAAUUAUAUCAUUUUAUGAGAUGGUCAUUAAUCCGAUCGUAUUAACACUAAAUAUUUUGUAAAUUUUAAAUAAAACAACCCAGCUCAAGCUAUUGCAUAUACGUUCAUCUAAAAAUAAAAGCAAAAAUUAUCAAAUCCACAUUCAUAUAAAUUUUAAAGAAAAGAAUCAAUUUGUCAUGAUAAGUCACGCUCUCAACUCAAGAGAAGUGGGGCCCACAAUCUACAAUUAAGCUUAACUCACUUGUCUCGCGUGUUGAAUAAUAUUCUUUUCAUGUUCGAAUAUUAUUGGCAAAGAAAAAUUUUGAAUAAUUCGAAUUAUUGGAUUGAUUCGAGCUUGGAAUCGGAAAAAUUUGACUCAAAGAAGCUUGUGAUCAAAGGAAGCGCCAAAAGAGGAGAAACAGAGAGAACGAAAAUUUGUCCAGGAGCACGCCUCGUUUAGCCAAACUUCCUUCAUUGCCCUCACGGAAACGACGAAAUCACCGGACGUGACACUGAAUUUGCCCGCCGACAGAGCAAGAGCCCAAGGUCGAAUCAGGAAAAUUCGCAAAUCCGUCGUCCUCUCCUUCCCUUCCCCACCACCCAAAAACAAAUGCUCGCCGUAGCUUUCGAUCGCCAUCCGCCGCGAAAAUCGCUACGGAGUCCACGAACGCUGUGAAGACCAGGAUUCGAGGGUUGAAUUCAAGCAAUGCGGACGAAGACCGCAAUCGAUAUCUCCAUCUCGCCGGGCGAUCGCGCCAUUUUGAUUGCGUGAGAUUGGAAUGAUGUUGUUGCUCGACAGAAUGUGGAGUUGAGGGUGAUGGUUGUUCUGAAGUGCUUCAUUGCCGCGGGUGGAGGCCAGAGGUAAUUGCAAUUCGUGUUCAUGUAAUCAAUUACUGCUCUGAUCCUCCCACUUGAUUGGGAUUGGGAGUCUAGUAUCGAGCAUGUCGGUUUUGAGGUUGGACUGUGAGAUUUGUAGUGUGAAUUUGGUGGAUUAGGCACUUCAGGGUUUGGGGGGAUCGUCGACUGUGUUGUGGAGCUGUAGUGCCUGAUUUAAUGGGGCAUACUAUUGCUGAAUUAUUUGGUUGGAUUAACUAAGCUCUUGGAUUACCGAGUUUGGAUCGAUACUACAACUGGAAUAUGGUCAGAUUGAUCGAAUUUCCAUAUAUUUGUUGGAUACAAAUAUUUCAUCCUGCUGUUUCUACUUUGGGGGUAAAAUUUGUUGAGUGUCUCACAGUGAUUGACUAUCGGCUAUUCGGCCUUUCUCCUGUCAAGUAAUGGACUGUAGCUUGUAGGUAUCAGCAGACUAGCUUUAUGGGAAAGAGGAGCCUUAUGUUGUUCACGUGUUCGCCUUUCAUUGCAUUUGAACAUAUAGUUCUUUAAGUUCACGAACAAGGAUGGCAGAAAUAUACUGAAAUAUUAUUUUGAGCUGAUGUUUCCUUGAAGUGAUCCUCUUACUCGAUUGUCGAAAUAGCUUGCUAGAGACAUGAGAAACUUGCGGAAUAACUGCAAAGAUAGCCACAUGAUGUGGAGUUAAGAGGGGCAGCAAAUUGGCGAAACAAACAAAGACAGUACAUAUCAAGAUUAAAAAACCCUAAUCACACGAAAUUGUAUGCACUGAAAUGAUUGGCACAGAUCUUGAAGUGAUCCUCUUACUCGAUUGUCGAAAUAGCUUGCUAGAGACAUAAGAAACUUGCUCCAUUGCUUGUAAUUGGAUGAGCUUUUGACCACAUUUUCAAUGUGAAAUUUUCUCAACUGGUAAAUGCAGAACUCAGACUGAGGUCCAAGGCUUGUAAAGCUGUUUACAAUCGCACUCUUGCCAUGACAUUUGCAGAGUAUGCAUCUGCUGUAAGUGUUCUUUAUAAGGAUUUUCACAUUUACCUAGAGCUUGUUGUUGUUAUUAAUUUUCAGGUUUCACCAUUUAAAUACAAUAACAUUGUAACUAGAUGCACAGCUUUUUAUUUUGCAGGUUUAACGUCAGAUUUGACAGAACUUAGUAGUUGGAUUUGUCCUAGAUGUGAUGGAAAGACCCAGGUAAUUUAAUAUGGUUUAAUAUGACAUUGUUGCUAAGGUUGCCUGAAGAAUGGAUCCUCAGUACAGUAUUAUAUGGCCAAUUCUUCUGAUGAGAUUUUGUGGGCAUAUGCUGCCUCCUCUUAUUAGAUUCUGAACUGGUAAUUAAUGCCUUUUGAUAUGAAAGCAGGGGUUUGAAUUCAUUGAAUUGAUAGUGAGCAUUCAACACUGCUUAUGUGCAGAUUAUUUGGUUGCAGUGGCUUACCAAUCUGCAAUGCUUGCAAUGCCUGUAUGUUUAAAUUGCAUCUAAUUGUUUAUAUCUAUUUCUAAACGUGCAUAUAUGUUACCUGUAGGCAUACGUUGGGGUGGCCAAGGAUCUUAAUGCUGUGAUUAUAGCUUUUAGAGGUGCACAGGAACAUGGGUAUGCAUGUUAACAUUAGCAACUCCUCCCCUUACAAAUGACUUGCAAAGGAUUUGAUGAAAAUUUAAGCUAAGAAGAGUAGCCUCCUGUGAGUGCAUACACAAGACCCAUAGGUCAGCUGUCCAUAAGAAGGGAAAAGGGUGAAUCAUUUCCACCAAGAUGCGAAAGUUACCUUCUUGUAAUUUUAGAUUGGUUCAUGAGAAGAUCACAUACUUAACUAAUUUUAUUCUGUGAAAAAUUCUGUCACCUCUCUUUGUCAUUUGAGCUUUUCAGUUAGUGAUUACUUAUACUUAUGUCUACAGCAUACAGAAUUGGGUUGAAGAUCUCUACUGGAUAGUGGAAACAGCUUGAUGUACUACCCUGGCGUGCAUACUACCCUGGCGUGCAUGGUGCCCUGGAUAGUUCUAGAGAUGAUAUGCCUCUUGCAAGCUGUGGAUUCUUCUCGUUUGGAUUGAGUUACAGCCUUACUCUAUUGAUUGUUGCUUGGGUUCAUCAUGGAUUUUACUAUACUUAUCACAAUAUGACAAUUCAACCUGGAAUUUUGGAUGCUGUUUUAAGAACCAAGGAUUUAUAAGGUGACAUCAAUGUCAUGGUGACAGAGCAUUCUAUGGGAGGGGCUAUGGCAUCCUUUUGCGGACUUGAUCUUGUGGUAAGAUAGUUAAAAACUGUUAUGGUCUGGACUUGUGAAUUUUAUUGGUUUUUUUUUUCCUUCUUCUAUCACAUUCUUCCAAUAUUCAUAUGGUAAUCUGUUAAGAGUCAACUGGAAUUCUCUGCCAAAUCUGUGCUGAAGAGUCUAGGCUAUUUAUAUAAAUCUUGAACUUUGUAUUGCUCUCAUAUUUAUAUUCACAAUUCGUCAUAGACAGCAUCUUGUUUUCUUUCAGUUUUGGUAAGUCAAACCCUAGACAAAACACAAGCAGAAUGGUGCAAACAGCCAUUUAUGCUAACCACCAAUUGUUUAAGUAUCUGGCAGUGUGAAUUGAGUCUUACCCAUUAAGCUAUGGAGCUUCAAGUUGGUUGAAUACCUAAUUAUAGUGGAUAAGGUCACUUCAGACGAAUCAUUACAAAGUUUACUUGCAAUGGAAUUGUUGAUAUGUUUAUGGUCUGGACAUAUAACUUUUUAAAGCACUUGAAGCUCUAGUUUUAUGUCAUGUAAUCUUGAGGUGCUAAUGCAUUUUAAGAUAGAUUAAAUAUUGAUCCUAAAUUUGUGUUUUGUGUACUAUUUCUGUCUAAGUCUCUCUAAUCAAAAGAAGCAGCUCCUUUUCAGUAGGACUACAAGACCAGAUAUGUUGUAGGUUGAAGCCAAUGUUGAGAUGUCUAAAUAAUGCCUUUUCUCUCAGUUUUAUUGGACAGAGUGUUCUAGGGUACUUUUGUAGGCACCUGUUGCACAACUAGUACCAGAAAUGGUGCCCGAUCCAAAUUCAUGUCCCAUUGAUUCUUUUCUCAUUGACAAGUGGUGAUUUUUUAGAGUUAAAUUUUAUCUUGAAGUCUGAUUACACUAAUGUUCGUGUGGCCUAUGAUAGGAUCAUAGGUUGCAGGGACUUUAGACUAUGCCCUUUCCUCAAAGUAUUAGUAGCAAGUAUAACAUCUUGUCCUAAAACUUUUUAAAUGAUUUAAAUUUUUUUUUUUCUGGUUUCUUGCCAAAUAUUUUGUUGAGCCAAUUGUGACAUCAUGUCCAUCCGUUGCAGUCCUGUUUAAGAUUGAGUUUCUCCUUCGCUACUUGUGUCAGUAAGUUUUGUAGUUCAAGGGGCCUUUUUACCAGGAACCAGGAAUUUUUUGUUUAUGUUGUUAGCAGGAUGUGACUAACCCCACCAACAUCCAAGUGCUUCUUGUAGAAGCAAUUAAAUGCGCUUCUGUCGUAAGUUUGCGCCCAAUCCCACUAUUCCAUACUAUUAACACCUUUUUGUGGUGCUGAGGGUGGGUUUGGUUUUGUUGUGUGUGGGGUUUGGUGUUGGGUAACUCAUGGAUGGGAUCUUGACAGAGUUAACGCUAGACCUUCAACCCUUAUGGAGACAAAGGGCUGCUCUAUUGUUCACCUUCGUAUAUGAAGUGCAAUAUAUGGUUAUUGAUGCAUAGUGUUUCCUUCCCGUCUUGAAAUGGCUAUUGACGUAUUAACAUUGAAUUUAUUUGGCUAUCUAAUUAUUUGUGCUGAAGCUGUCUUGUCCAGACCAGCAUCCACUUGAUUUACUUAUAUAACCGAACCACUUUAUUUCCUAGUUAAUCAUGAAGCGCGGAAUAUUCACGUUUUAACAUUUGGACAGCCUUGUAUUGGCAAUGCAGUGUUUGCGUCUUACUACAGUGACUGCAUAUAAAAAACAUUACGUAUUCCUACUGGACAAGAUGAUUUGUCUCCUUUGCCUCUUUACUAUUUUCGGUUCCCACGGAAGACGUAACGUCAAUUCCCUAGAGAGGUAUGGCGUUGAUCUUGAUAGAAUAUCAAAUUUAUGGGGAAUUGUCGAUGACUGAAUUUGAGGUUUGCUUCGCAUUUCUUUCAACCUGUCUAACAAGUGAAGUAUCAUAUAUUCCGGCAUAGUAUGUACUCUCUUUUUUAAGCAUAUAAAUUAUGACUUUCUUGUUUGUUUUUCUUGUUAACAAAGCAGGGUAGUUCGUAGGACUCAUUACCUCUUAAAAAUGUUUUAACUCUCAUUCCUGCAAAAGCCAUCAUGAGUUUUUCAUAUUGAUUCCAAUGUUUAAGACAUGUAAUAAUGUUUACUACGUUCUCUCUUUCAAAUCUGUAUGUCUACUAAUGCAUAUAGUUAUUGGUGACUAGCUCAAAGACAGCCACGGAUAAACAUAUUAAUGAAGUUAACGUCCUCCUACAUGAAGCAUUGGGAUCGACCAGUUUCAGAUUAAGACAAAAUAGCAAUUUAUAAGGUAUCUCAGAUAAAUCACUGCACAGUAAAUUGACAAAACAAUGCUCUUGGAAUUUAUAUAAAUUGACUAGACCUCACUAGGUAAGUUAAUUAGCAAUUCAAAGCCACCGAAACAUCUAAACCAAACCAAAACAAAACAAAGAAGAUCUGAACAAAGGUACUUGUAGAACUAUAUCACUAGUCAACAUGCAAAGUUCACAUAAAAGAAGAUUUACAUGAGCCUCUUUGUAAUUCAUAUGUACAACAGAAUAUGAAGCACUUCUUAUCAGAAAAAAAGUACUCAACAAGGCAUGCGUCCAAUUUUUUUUUUCUUCCCCAGAAAUUUGCUAAGUUUGAUCAAGCAACUCCAUAAUGUACUGAGUUUCCAAAUCUCCCAUGGUGGAUGCCUGUUCAUUUUAAUUUUUUUCCACAUUGAUACAUUAGAAACUACAGGAUAUAGUUGCCGGAGAAGAUAAACAAAUUGUGCGGCAAUUCUGGUUAACCAGAUUAUCACAAUUAUGUAAAUGAAAAGCCACUAGUUUCUUCAAGCCACUUAGGGUGCGCAUGACAAAAUUUCUGGAAUAGAAAUUGAUUUUUAGCCAGAAAUUGAGAAAUCAGAAAUUGAGAAGCUAAAAAUUUUAGUUUCUGAUUUCUUCUUCAAAUCUAUUUCUGGAAUAGAAAUCUAUUUCAGAAAUAGAAAAAUCAAAUUGCGUUACCAAACGGAUUUCUGUUCCAAACCUGUUCCGGGGAACAGAGAAAUCAAGAAAUAGAAAUUUUAUCAUGCGCAGCCUUAGUCGGCCAAUCUAUCCAGUGGGUUGGGUUCAUUCAGCUCCAAAGUUCUAAGAUUCUCCGGACUUUCAAGGCCUCAAGUCUCUGUAAAUAGUUUCCUUAAGUUUGAUAGGUCUAUUGGUGUAUGCAUUGACUAUGCCUGAUACAUAUGGACGGUAAAUUUGAGGGCAGCCUUGGGAGGCACCGCAGACAUUCUCGCUAGAGUUUAGGUCUCUUAAGAUGAGAAACCUGUUCUAUAUCUGGUGAUAAGAUCGUCAUUAUCGAAGAGGACAACUCUAAAGACUCCAAUAUGUGUAACCUCUCGAUCAACUAUGGAUAGGAGCUUUCACAAGCUUUUCAACUGGGUGAAGAGAAUUUCGGAUUUCCUGGGACUAAUCCCUUGAGCUUUUAAAGUUUGGGAGACAAAAAAAUGCCAUCAUCAAUUAAGUAGGACUGUGUAGACAGACAAGACUUUCUGGGAGCCUGGUACUUGGUGUAUCUCAGCACAUGUCAAUUUCAAGAUCCUACAAGAGGAAUAUCUCCAGAUAUCAUUGAUAUUUCUAUUAGCAAAUUUCCACUAAGCUCUGCAUCUUCUAGCCUUUCCAGUUUCCAUACUGUACUACGUAUAGAUUUUAUGGCAGAGAAGCUCAUCUUCAGUGCUUUCAAAAGUUUCAUGUUCCUAUCCAAACCAGGCAACUCUUCUAUGUCCAUGUUCGAGAUCCACCUCAGCAAGUGAUUCCAAAUUCCACAUUGAGUCCAGUAGCAUCUUUAUCGAUUUGCAGUUUCUCAAAGACUGGUGUCCAAAGCUUACAAGGGAUCCAGUUGAGUUGGGAAGCUCCACGAUCCCCAGCUCCUUUCAGAGCAAGCCUUGAUAGGGAAGUUAGGUGACUGAUUGAAGGUUUCAUAGUGAGUGAGGAACGAUGGCAAGCGCUGAGAAUUUGUACUCUUCAAUCCUUGGCAUUCAGGCACAUGCUUUAUUGAUGUCCCAUCAUAUAGUUCUCUCAAACAUUACAUUUUAUAAGGCUCCUUUGGGAGGUGGCGGAGAGUCUUGCAGAAAUUCGAAUUAUAUAAAACUAAGUGCUGUAUCUUACUGAUAGACCUAUCAAUCUGGACGAAGAUUUUGCAUUUCUUGGAUCAAUCUUUCUAAAUUCACAUGUACCUGAAAUAUAGCAUCUAACGGCACCAUUUUCACAUCGAAAGAUCCACCUGAUCUAACUGAAUUGAAGACAUACAGCAAGCCCUUUUAAGGCAGAAGUUCAUAUCCACUUUCCAUCCCAUCCUGAUGUUUACCCGUUAAAACCAGCACGCGAAUCAAACAAAGUUAACGUCCAGCAAAGUAGUCAACACAACUUUUCCAAAAUCAUGCACCGCAUACUAAUUAGUCUGAAGUUCACACCAGCAGCUCCUCCGUGAGGUACUCACCGAGAUACCCAGUGGUAAAUUCAUUUGCUACUAAAUAUACGUGAUGGACCUUUUUUAGCUUUCUUCCGCUUGUUUCAUCCUUUUAUUCAAUCAUUUCACCAUUGACGUUGAUCCAUGGUUUAUAGCAGCAUCAUUAUUCGGACUGCCCUCUCCAGUGAUCUUACCGCUCACAGUAUUCUCUCGAAGAAAUCUUGGAACAGAACAGUAGAAACAACAAUUGUAGCAACUGUCACCACACGGGGCAACCUCAAGUGGUCAAUCGUUUUGCACUAGUACAAGUGGUCAACCUCAGUAGAAACAACAAUCGUCGAGCUGCUGCUGCUCCUCCUCAAAGCCAUCAGACAGGGCCUCGUCGGAUGAUGGCUGCUGCUUGAGGGUUUCGCCAUAGCGUCGCUAAGAACCCAUUUCGACGGAUUGAUCAAUCCAUCGAUUGAGGUCGUCACUGCUUUCUCUAGAGAAUCAGAAAGUGCACAUUCUUGAUGUUAUCACUAUACCUCGAAAUGUUAAGUUUGAGUUGUUGCUGCUCAGUCCAUCCGUACAUAAAUUAGUCUAUUAUUGUAGUUAGCAUGUUAGAAGCCUGAAAGUCUUUCCAAACGAGGAUUGUAGAUGCCAGACUGAUGGGUUCUUUGUCAGUAGGGGGCCUUCUUUAGGUUGAGUUUGAUGUCUAGAUAUGGGGCGGCGGGUGGAGAAUUUGAUGAUUGAUGAGGAAGUCUGAAUAACUUAUUGGAGGGAUGUGUACGUGGUGGAGCAGUCGAGUUGAAGCGGAGGGAUGAUUAUGCUGUCGGGAUUGUGCUUGUUGAUUG
Molecule: long non-coding RNA, 82667 nt
Filed under: Eucalyptus grandis
Lineage: Eukaryota; Viridiplantae; Streptophyta; Magnoliopsida; Myrtales; Myrtaceae
Description: long non-coding RNA (EGRA_LNC005150)
Source: RNAcentral